UUUGUCCGGGCAGAAAAGCCAUCAUAACAAUCAUGUUAUGUAGGCAGUAGGCUGUUCCUCGUCCUUAAUAUUACCUAGUGAGAAGGAUGUUUCAAUCUUUGGUGGAUAACAGAGUAACAAUAGAUAUAUAAAGAAGGGGGAAGGUUCUCAACAAAAGAUUCAACAUCCCGAGUGGAACACAAAUCAAAUUUCAAAAGCCAUGCAAACAAGAAAAUGGGUUCUUCUCUGCAUCAGUAUCUUCUCUGCAUCAGCAAUCCAAGUAAUAAAAUAUGUUCUCAGGAUCUGUCAAAGACUUGACAGGCAAGUUUUGUAAUAUUAGUUAAGCUGGAUCAGCACCUAUAACUCAGAAAUUUCUUCAUUUUUAUCUGAGUAUGGAGGUAUGACAUCCAUGUAGAUAUUCCUAGCUCCCUACAGCAUCCAUGUAGAUAUUCCUAGCUCCCUACAGCAAUUUUCACUAGUUUCAGUUUUCCUGGAAUCUAUAUAUGUAAAACAACUACCUUUUGCGAGUAAAGAGUGUAUGUUCAUUCAGUUUUGUUGUCAAUUCAGUUUGAUUUUUCUUCUUUCUUUGCAAUAAGGACUGUGUGAUACAAUUCAUCUGAGGCUAUUGUGCACUUUAUUGCUUUCAUUGUUAAAAGAAAACAGCAUUGUAUAAUGGCUAGCAUUCCAGCUUUAUUGCCAACGUUCCCCACCUAUAGCCUUGCAUCCUUAGCAAUAGCACAUUGCCUAUGUGCACUAUGUGCUCUGCCAUUCCUACCUACGUGCAGAGUUCCUUUCGGAUGACGAAAAUGAAGUACAUCCAUUUUACUAGCAGAAUUGAAUGCAUAAAAGAAUAAUUCUGCAUUUUACAUUCUGCCGUGAUGAGAAAGGGUUGGUUGUAGUAGGACCCUGUAUCUCAUGACUGGUACGUAAUAUAUUCGAGAUCAACAAUUGUAAGUGCAUCCACAAUUAUAAAUUUCUAUGCCAUUAAAUGAAGAAGAAAUCACAUGAAAUCAAUAGAGAUGUAAUUGUUAUGAACCGAUAGUACAAUUUAUGUUGAUCUCAUAAAUAAAAACAAUCUGGAACUAAUGAAAAAGAAAUUUAUUUAUUGAUAUUCUCUGACCAAUUGAGCAUGAACUGCGCCUCUGGUGGAUUGCGCCAUUAGGGGACCGAUUGAUAGGCAUGGCAAUGUCUGGACAUCAUAGCAUGGCUUAAAGAAUGGAUGGCGUAGAGCCUCUGCAGCCGUUGGCCUUUUACUUGGAUUCCAUGAUAGUAACGAUGUCAUCAAGUCGAUUGCUUCUUUAGAAACAUCUGGCAUUACCAUAUCAAAUUGUAUUAUUUGAAACUGUGGAAAACGAUAGUAUUUAGCACUUUUUUUCACCCAUGAUGUCUCAUCGGGAGAACCCAUGAUGCAAAUUUUGAGCUUCUUCCCAUGAAUAUUUUUUAUCCUUCAAAAUCUUAAUCGCGACAUUUUCACCACUAUGAUUAUCAAAGGCCUUCCAUACACAACCAAAUUAAGUUUCCUUCCCCGAUUUUUGUACCAAAAGUAUACUUUGAUAAUAAAUAAGCUGAUUGGUUGUUCAUCACCAUACCACCACUCAUUAUCAUCUUGUCAAAACACACCGAAACCCUCAGCAAGCAAAAGAGAUUUUUAGAAAAACAAAGAACGAGAUGAUAUGAGUAACGCUUAUAUAGAGUUGUGGUAUAUCAAUUACGAGUUACACAUGACUUGGAAGUACACCUGUACGUGAGAGAUAAACGCAUUGAGUUGCAUGCGCGGGAACAAACUCUGAUUCCUGUUGCUUUUAUUCAGGUUUAAUAAACUUGCCGGCUCUCCACUUUGUGAGAGACUGAGAGGUAUGGUAUGGUAUGCAAGUAGAGCAGUAAAUGUAUUCCUGAUUUCCUUCCACUAUAAUUUUCUAUAGAUCGAUACCAGGUCAGUUUUCGUUUUGGUCUCCCCCACACUGAUCCUUCGACUCGUCCUCAAGUCGAAUCAUACAUUUAACUUGGUACCAAUGCCAUAUGGAUAUAUUCAAGAUGUUCCCCAUCAAUCUCAUAAUUUUUACCCAUCAAUCAUUUGUGCCAAACAAAUGCAUUGAAGAGCAAUACAUUGAAACAGUGCUCAAAUAUAACAACUCUGAAAAUUCCCAUAACACAUCUGUGGCAAAGCGAAGCAGCAGAUAACAAAACAAGGACUCUUCAAAAUUAAAAUUAGAUAAUUAUUAAAUAACCAAAAUUUACAUGUACUUUCAAAAUGUGAAUAAAUUCAUAAGUUCAUCAAAGCUUGCGACAGGUGAUAUGGUUACCAAAAAUCACUGCCAUAUCAUAUCAAGACCAGAUAGAAAUAUAACAAAAUGGACCAAUAUCAAGUCCAGUAGCAGUAUGGCAGUCCAUUUGUAUAUGCAGUCGGGUGGUGCAGAUGAUAUCAUAACCCCAACUGUUUGUGCUCACAGAAAUGCUAUGUAAUUAUAACGGAACCUCAAAAAUAAUUAUCAGAAACAUCCCAGGCACUUCAUGUUCCUCCUUGUACAAUAAGCUUAUCCUCGUGUAGGGAAUAAGUGAGAAUUGUUGUAACUUCGACAUCAAAAACUAUCGACGCAUGCAGUUUAUCCAUCAUUCUUUGCCUUCAUGUACUAUAGAGUGCUAAUAUCCACUCGGCUUUUAUGGAGCUGAAAUGCCGGAGUGAUCCAGCUUCCACAGCUGCACUGGAUGCCUGACCAGUUGAAGUAACCCAACCGGGCAUCACAAUGAGGACAGAACAACUUCCCUUCCAAUGCACCUUCUUCAACUGGGUGAAAAGUGUGAAAUAUAAGUAGUGCACAUAACAUGUCAAAGCUCUAGCAUUAUAUGACAACAGUUGUAUUUUCCUGUUCAUAUUAUUUAGUUUUUUCCCUUGAAUCAGCUACAUCCAUUUAAUCAAGUACAUCUCAGGUGAUCACAGGCCUUAUAGUGCAAAGUAUGAAUUUUUAUUUACUUAUUUAUUUACUUUUGAGAGGUAAGUAAGACUUUUGUAAAAUGAUUGGUUUCUUUGUCUGUAAAAUAGAAAUCAAGCUUCCGAAUUACAACCAACUGGCUUACCAACACACAAAUGUAUAGGAAAAAGAACAGUUUGAACUUUUGGUCAAUCGCAAGCAUUUCUCAGUGCAUUCUAUAAAAAAUACUUGUGUAAUACAAGUGGGGACAUUUAGAAAAUAGGAAAGCUAUACCUGUCUUCAUCCACCGUAGAGGCUCCAAAAAGAUAGACGAGCAUUCAUGUUCAUCAGACCUGUUGAACGGAUUUCCACCACUCCGCUUCUGCCACUUAAAACAUGUCUCCCCCUCGCCAGGUUUGUGCUCCACCACAUUGUCUUGCAAAGCCAUAACUCUCCUGCACUUUUUGCAGCGAUAGGCAGGAUUGAGCUUAGUAAUUUCAUUGGGAGAUGUGGAAGACUCUGAAGAGUCAGCAACUGCAGGUAAACCAGGAUCAACCCCAAACUGGGAACUAUCUAUCCUUUCCCCUCGAUUAUAUGAAUCACCUGAAAAUCAUGGGGUGCACACAUCUUUAGCUGGAACCUCACAACAGAAAAGAUGUAACAUUCCAAGAAUUUGAAGAAAGGUGCAUCCCUUUUCUACUCUACUUUGUCAUACCAAUAAACUAUACAAUUAGAGAGCUAAUAAGUCAAACCACAGAAAGACACCCCACCCUGCUGGAGCUUCAUUGAGGACACCGGGAUGUGCCCUUUGGCCAAUGUGUUUGGAUGAGAGGUCUUGAUGAGAAUGAUGGGUUCUGACACCUAGCAUUGUGUAAUAAUGUAACCCCUAUUUCUUGUAUUUGCUUUUAUUGUUAUUUGUGCAGCACACCCUACUUCUCUUUCUAAUUGACUAUAUACAUAAAAUUUACCUUCGCCGAUUUGUAUGAAGGGGAAAAAAACAAAGAAGAAAAAGGACAAAGGUUAACAUAAUAAAAAACGAAUGGGAACCCAUUACUAUGAAUCAACCGGAGAAAUAAUAGGAUGUAUGAAACUCAAAUUCGCAUACCACACACUUUUUUUAAUCAACCUAACACAGGACUAAAGCUAUCUAUUGUCAAACUUAGCAUUUCUGCAUUCAUUAGGAAAGAUUCAUGUAAUCUCAAAAACAAAGCCACUGUGGUGCUGAGACUUUUAAAAUCAUAAUUUCAAUUUAGAGGUAAGCAUUUUAAAAAGGGUUUCUAAGUGUUGUCGAUGAUCUAGGACCCAAGCAAAUUGUAAUCUCCCACACAACUGUUGAAAGUGAGAUAAAAGUGAGAAAACUAACCUAAUAUUUUCAAGUGAAAACGCUUGUAUAUCGGGCUCGUAGGAUCAACUUUGAAACCCAUGCCUUCAAACAUCUUUAACUGAAAUGAAGGAAUAAAACAUGAAAGAAACAAGGGUUAAUUGAAAUGCUCAUAAAAUGUAACAUAAAUAUAUAGCAGACUUGCAGUUCUAAAUGCUCUGUAUGAAACUAUGAAUUAAUCAAAUUAUAAUGAGACUCGCCUGUUCCAAAAAUCCAUCAUUAGGGCAAACAAACUCACAACUUUGUCGUAAUGAUACAAGCGCAUCUGCAGAACAUGUUUGCAAAAACAUAAGAGUCAAUGACCAAUCAUAUAAUAAAGAUACCUUGUCGCUACAAAAGGAGCGGAAGGAAAACAUAAAUGAAGUCCACAAAAAAUAAAAAGAAAAUGUUUCAACCUUCAUGAGAGAGUUGUUCAGUUCUCAUCAGAUAUGCUGUAAUGAUAGAUGCACUGCCAUAAACCAAUACAAAGUGCUGUAAGUUCAGGUCAGGCUGAUAGUGUAGGAGAUCUAAGCCUAUAGACUAAAACACAGAACAGGAUGUAUAAAAUAAAAUUGUUUCUGUCUUCUACUUCACGACAUCUUCCUUCACAAUAUUUAUCCAAGUAUUUUAUAGCUUUUAGGAACUACACAGUAAAGUGCGAACAAUCCUCAACAUGAAAGUACAGUACGUGUGAAGGUCUGGCUUGAUAAAUUACAUAACAUAAUGUAUGAAAUUAAAAUGUUUUUGUCAUCUACUAUCACAUUAUUUUCACUAUCAGAGACAAUAAAAUUCAAUCAACACUUGGCUACCUCUACAACAAUUCUGACUAGGAUUCCAUAGUUAUGAAUAUCAACUAUAAUCUAAAUCAAGAGAUUACGAAACCCUAAUUUACCCAAAAUGAGUAAACAAUAUUUGACCGGAAGCACAAAUCAUUUCCCACAUAAAAUUCAAUUAAUCUAACACCAAAAUUUAGCAUUAACCAUUAUUUAAAAAUGAAAACUUGAAAUAGAAGAAACAAAGCAAUACCUUCUUGAAACACCUGCGAAACAAUGUACUAAAACAGAGCCUUGUUUUCUACUAUUAUCAAUAAAAUCCAAACAAACAUCCAAAUAAUCCAAUAAAUUCUCUCUUUCCAUAUCUCUUAAAGGAACACCCAUUCUUACUAACUUCAAAUCCUUUCCAGCAUAUUCCACCAAACACAUUAACUUGUUCUUCUUCUUCUUAUCACUAUCAGUUUCACUUUCUUCUUCAACAACUAGUUGUUCUUCUUCUUGUUUUGAUUCUCUAAAGUAAACUUUACGAAUUUCUUUUGUUGGAAAAACCAUUUCAGAACGCCAUUCAGAGAAAAAUGAAAUUGAUGCUGAACUUAAAACUGAUAAUAUAUGAGUUACCUCUUCACUUCCAUUUACAAGAAUCUCUGCUGCAUCUUCUAUAUUACCUAUGUAAAGGUUUUCACGAACCAAAUACGGCAUGAUUGCUAUAAAGAAAGAUUAAUUUUCUUUCUCCUAGGAUUUUGGUGGGAUUUUUUUUUUUUUUUUUCUGUAAGAAAGAUGAUGAUGAAGAAGGAAGAAGAAAACCCUUCUCUUCUCUUCUCUUCUCUUCUCUUUCUCUUUUCUUGUUUUUCUUUCUCUCUCUUUCUCUGGUUCGUCAGCUUAUUAUCUUUUUUUUUCUCUUUUGUGCUAACGGUACUUUCAUAUAUAGUAAAAAAAAAUUAGUCACGUGUGAAGCGCGUGGAUAAAGCGAUGUAGUAGUCCCACUUAUGUUAAGGUGUUGAUUUGAAAAUGGUGAAUAGUGAUUGAGAGAUUUUGAGGAAUAAUUGUUGAAGAAUUUUGGAUUACUUUGCUUUGAAGUUAUGCUUUUUCUAUUUAUUAAAAAAAUAAUAAAUUUUUUUUAUAAAUAUUAUAUUAUAAUGACCUAGAAUCGAGAUCUUGAAAUUGUUUCUAUAAACAUUUUAAUGCAUGUGAUUGUUUACAUUUAAUAAAAUAUUUAAAUUUCAAAUAUUAGUGAUCUUCAAUUCUUAUAAUAUAAAGAAAACCCCACUAAAGAAUUUCUUUUUCUCUUAUCACUAGCAAGUUAACGAUUCUGUCUCAGGACCGUUUGCAGAGGCUGACGUGGUUUAAACUUAAAAACAGAGGAUAGGUGUGAUGAUCCAACGGUCGAGAUGUAUCUUUAAUCCAACGGUUCUAAUAUGUUUUUAAUGUUAUCGUUGGACCCGACUAAACCAGGCUUUUAAAUAGGCCUGUAAAAUGGGUCGGGUAGGGCUAGCCCGACCCUUGAACCCUCGAGCCCUCACACUUUAAGGGUCGGGCCAACCCUACCCUAAAAGAUGAUGAGGGACGGGUUAGGGUGGGCCAACACAAAAAUUGUAAAAACCUCACCCGACCCUUAGCCCUUUAUUUUAAAGGGUCGAGGGCCGUGCUAACGGGCCCGGUUGAUAGGGUCGAUACAUAGAAUUAUGUUUUACUUAGAAAAAAAAAUGCGAUCAUGUUUUUAUUAAUAUCAUUUUAAUAUUUUUGAAAAUACGUAUAAUAUGUUUCAUUCUUAAAUGUACAAAUAUAUUUUUUUCACCAUAAAAUUUGUUAAAGUAUAUGAUAUUAUUUUAUCCAAGACGCAUUACAAUUAAUAAAUACAAAGAACUCGUAGUUAGAUGUUAUCUUAUUACUAAAAUUUUAAACUUUAGAAAUUUAAUCUUAAAUUUAUAAAAUUCUAGCAUAAUAAGUAUAAAAUACACAUUUAAAAUAAUAAUCUAAUUACCGUUUAUUGCAUGCUCAAUAAUGAAAUAUAUGGUUAAUAAAAAAAUAUUCUAUUGAGAAUUAAUUUUUUUUAGUUAUAUAAUAGUUUUUUAACAACUAGUUCGGAAAAUAUUCGAUAAACAUUUGAUAAAUAUCAUAUAACUUAAACAAAAGUGACAUCUAUGUCUAAUUGGAAAAAUCUUUACGGUUUAAAACUCUAAAAAAAUAUCCAAAUUUUGAUAUAUAGAGAAAUAUAUUAAAAAUUAUACAUAUAUUUAUGAGGGCCGUAAGAGGGCUUUGAGAGGGUUAAUUAGGGUCGGGCUAAAUAGUGUCUUCUUCCCCAAUUUUAAUAUCUGACCUCUGAAACGCAAACAGAGACACAGUGAAAAACCAAAUUUGUCUUGGUCGCCUUCUUCCCAAUCCCAAUUUAAGGUUAGAAUGAAUUCAAAAGGUGCUUUACCUUCAAAACCAUUUUCCAUUACAGAAACAAAAUUAAGUGAAAAAGUUGAUUGAAGUUGGACACUUUACCUUCAAAUCCUAGCUACGAUCAAACUCUGAUCACAUGUCCACUAAGAAUUUGAGUUGAAUUUACCACAAAUACAACAGAUUUGGUUGAAAGACAAGAUCUUGCUAGGGUUUAUGAGAGGGAGAAGAAGGAAUUAGGCGGGAAGAAUGGGAAAGAUCGCGCCUGUGAGUUGUUAUCACGCCCAAGUGUUUGCUUUUAUAUUAUCAGAUCCCUCACCCUAGCCGUUGAUAAAAACCAUUCAGAUUAAGACACGUGCCUCAUUAUGAUUAAACCGUUUAUAUGUUUUUAAGUUUUAACUACGUCAGCGUUUUUCGAAUUAAAUAAACCACGUCAACAUCUACAAACGGUCAUGAGACAGAAUCGUUAACUUGCUAGUGAUAAGACCAAAAAGAAGUCUUUAGUGGGGUAAACACAAAUAUUAACAUAAAUUUCUGGGGUUUUUACAAAAUGGCCCCCCUAUUGUUCCUUGAGGCUCAUUUACUCAUUGAGUUGAUGAUGCAUUGAGUCCUUGAGGAUUGAGAUGAUAACAUUGGAGAUAUGGCGGCAAGCAUGGAAAAUGGCAAAGUGAACAUUGGAUGUUGUGCCAUGGUGAUGGAAUUAUGUACAGUAUCAUACCCGAAUAUUCUUUUCUUUUUAUACUCUCAAAACCUCAAAGGGUAGUUAAAGAUGCGACAACCCAAUAAUAUCUCAUACAAUAAUUGUUAACCAUAUCUAUGUACCGACGACUUGUGUAGUUGUGCUACCUGUUGAUUAUGCCAAAAGCAGUUUUAAAGAGUCUGGAAACUCAUCUUUAUGAUUGUGAGCCAAUCAGUCACUCAUCACUCUUUUAUUUCAUCAACAUUUUUACAAACUUUUAUUCUAGAUUAGAGAUUAAAAUUUAGAUAAUAGUACUAUCAUUCACAAUUCACUUAACAAAAAGCAUAAUUUGUAAUUUGUAGACAUGUAGUUAAUCACGAGAUAAAAAAAAAUUGUGAUAUUUUUUUUUUUUAAUAGAUAAGAUGGUGAUCAUUGAAUUGAAUUGGAGAUUUGGAUUCAUGUUUUGAACUCUGAUCAAUGUUGUUGUUAGCAAACGAGGUUGAGAGUGCCUACCCCUUUAAAUACACAUGAAUAUGAACACUUAUAUCAAACAAUCAGUUAUUGAUGUGUUUCCAACCUAGGACCUCUCAAUUUUAUGAGAAGUAUGCAACCGUUGGGCCACAGGCUAUGUGCUUCGCAAAAUAUUUAAGUUUCACAUUCACUUGUUUUCAAAAUAUAUAAUAAAAAUUAAUAAAAAUUAAUAAAAACCUAUUGGUUUUCCCAAGAGUCAAGACCAUGAUGAGGCGAGGCACAAAACAAAAUAAAUAAAGAGAUAGAAGAAGUGAAUAUCUAUAGAAUAAUACUUUCACUCGACCCAUAUAUACUAACCUAAACCAACCCUCUUCAACGAAACCAACAUUAUUAAGGAUACCUCAUGGAAAUUUUAAAAGAAAUAAGGGUAAUUUAGUCAUUCUAUAAAUUUACACGACGAAAACGUUCGUUCGACAUCACCACCAUUCUCCCGCUUGGUUUCAUUUACAAUAGCAAAGCAACAGAGAAGUAGACAAGAUAAGAUAAGAUAUAAUUAACAAAGCAAUCUUGGCCGUCAGAUCACUCAGUCAUAACUCCUCCUACCAUAAUAACCAGGGUUAGCACUACUAUCCUUCUAUGGUGUUUUUUUUCUGAUUUUUUUUAUUAUUAUUUUGGAUUUUUUUUUUCAAAUAUUUUGGGUAAUAGUUAUGUUCUGUGACAUAUAAAUAUGAUUGAUUGGUUGAAUUUAUUGAAAUGGGGUUUGGGAUUUUUUUUUUGUUAUUAGUGUUGUGUAGAAAUUGUACAAUUGAAGAAUAAACUGUUACUGAUUACUUGCCAUAUGUGAUGUAGUCAUAUGUUGGUAUGAAUGGAGAACAUUGAUUAAACACAUAUUGAAAUGUAAUUGAUUAAACUGUCCAUAAUGAAUUAGAAUGUAUUUUAAGUUAGCUGAAUCGUUUCGUACGUUGUUUCAUUUUCGAGUUAUAUGAGUUAUUAGGCAUGAUUUGACACAAAUGAUACUUGCAUUUCAUAUGACAUAUCACAUAUUGCAAUAGUAGUCAUUUUGAAGUACAUGAUCUCUAACAUCAGGUUAUUGUGAAAGCAAAGUACUAAUCUUGUCAACCUACAGACUACAAUCAUCAACUACUCACUUUUUUCUCACUGUAGUUUGAAUUUAACAUGUUAAUCUUCAUUAGUCAUGAGUUUAUUGACACAUGUUAAUCUUCAUUAACAUGGCACAUUUAUGCAAACCUCAUUCAACAUUGCAGUUUUCCACUUACAAGAACCUGUUUGUUGUUGUCUUUGAGACUUAUAUUUUAUGGGAUCCAUAACUUUGUUGAUGGAAGUAUUUUAACAAUAAAAUCUCUAAUCUUUGCAGUUCUUUUUUGACUUUUAUAUUUCCAGGUGUGGUAUACCGUAUACCUGUUUUGAGGGAAGAGCCAAGCCUUCGACAUUGCUCACUUACUGUCAACAUCUUGCUCUUUGAAAUUGAUAACCAGUAGCAAGUCUGACCUUAGACAUAUGAGUCAAUCUUCCACCUUUUAUCCUACUUCUCUUACUUUACAAACUUCCACAUUUCCAUCAAAGAGGUCACGCCAAAGAGGUCUUACUGUUUUUGCAACCGCACUAUCUCCAAGUCAAAGCAGCUCUGUGUUUGAUCACAAAGACACUGAACCAUCAAGGCCAAAGAGAGUCAUGAUUAUAGGCGGAGAUGGAUAUUGUGGGUGGGCUACCGCUCUUCAUCUUUCCAAGCAAAAUUAUGAAGUUGCCAUUGUAGAUAAUCUUGUCCAACGACUUUUUGAUCUUCAACUUGGUCUUGAUUCACUAACACCAAUCUCUUCAAUCCACAAUCGUGUCCGACGAUGGAAAUCUCUGACAGGAAAAACUAUUGAGCUUUAUAUUGGUGACAUAUGUGAUUUUGAAUUUUUAUCUGAGACUUUCAAAUCUUUUGAGCCUGAUUCUGUUGUUCAUUUUGGUGAACAACGCUCGGCUCCUUACUCCAUGAUUGAUCGUACUAGAGCGGUGUUCACGCAGCAUAACAAUGUGAUUGGUACACUAAAUGUUCUGUUUGCUAUCAAGGAAUAUAGAGAGGACUGCCAUUUAGUAAGCUGGGAACAAUGGGCAAAUAUGGGACUCCCAACAUUGACAUUGAGGAAGGAUACAUUACAAUUAACCACAAUGGCAGGACAGAUACAUUGCCUUACCCAAAGCAAAGAAGCUCAUUUUACCACCUGAGUAAGGUCCAUGAUUCCAAUAAUAUAGCAUUUACUUGCAAGGCGUGGGGGAUUAGGGUUACUGAUCUGAACCAAGGAGUGGUAAUGUAUCCUAUGAGCAGUAGUGCUACACACAGACCCAAUGGUGGGUUAUUGGAAAUGUGUCUUAUGAGUAAGAGCAUUCCCAAUGGUAAAAGGGUUUUAGGGGUGCCACAUAGGAGAGAGAGGAAAGGUUUUAGCAUAAAAUUAAUGUUAAAAGUGAUUAGUGGUUUUAGAGUUUCCAAUGGUUGGUUUUAAAAUAAGUAUUAAAACUUAAUAUUUUAUUUUUUCAAAAAAAACAGUGUACAUUAUGGGUAAAUUUAAUGUUUAAGAGCAUUCCCAAUGGUAGGUUUUAAAUCACUUUUAGCAAUUUUUAGUAAAAAACUCUUGCCAAUAGUGGGUUUUAACACAUUUUUCAAGCAAAACACUUUUAUCUCCUUGGCAAAUUUGUCAAGGAGUUAAAAGUGCCACAUAGAACCAUUUUAUUAAUUAAAAAUUAGAUUUCAUCACAAUGUACACUAUAUUUUUUGGGAAAAGUGAAACCUUAAAUUUUAACCCUUGUUUUAAAACCAACCAUUGGUAACUCUAAAAGUGCUAAUCACUUUUAACAUAAAUUUUAUGCUAAAACCUUUUCUCUCUCUCCUAUGUGGCACCCUUAAAACCCUUUUACUAUUGGGAAUGCUCUAACUAGCUAAAAAAUCCUACGUGGCACUUUUAAGUCCUUGGCAAAUUUGCCAAGGAGUUAAAAGUGUUUUACUUGAAAAAUGUGUUAAAAGCUACCAUUGGCAAGAGUUUUUUACUAAAAGUGUCUAAAAGUAUUUUAAAACCUACCAUUGGGAAUGCUCUAACAGUUUUAUGAGCUGAACAAUGUAAUUAUGUUACCCUAUCAGUUUUAACCAUUGAAUGCAACAUAAUUAUGUUCAAAAUUGAUAACAUUGAAUCAACUCCCUUGACUCCUCAUUCACCAUGGAAAAUGAACUAUCCAUUUCCUCCAACUUGAUCUCCUUCUUCACCUUAAAAUCGAGAAUCAACUUCUCUACCCCUCUACAACACUUACAUGCUAUCGCAUGGACCCUAACGGUGAGUUAUCCGAAACGUAUCUUGUGGGGAACCAUUUCUAUUUGUAGAAUCACCCCUAUUAGGUAGGAGUAUAUACAAAUGGUAAGUGGGUUAAACGACCUAAUGUAUGUUAUGUGGAAGGAACUGGGGGCAAGGAAAGUGGAUUGAAAUAUGGAAAACAAUAACAUGAAGAAAAUAAAUCGGCAAUGUUUAUACAUUAUUAUUUUAUAGAUUCAUUAUUAUCUUAUUUUCGUCAAAUUUCAAAUACAAAUUUGUUGAUAUUGCAUUAUUUUAUAUAAGUAAUAAAACUAUAAGAACAAAUGUGUAAAUACCUGAUAAACUCACUAAAAUAGGAAACUGCCUGAUAUUUUUUUUUAAAUAAAAUAAGGGGGUUUAGCAUGGACCCCUUGUCACGACCCUAAUAUCCAAACAUUGGUAAAAAAAGAGAAUUUACAAAAUUACCCUCAAGAUGCCAAUAAAUGGAAAAAGGAUCAAGACAGUAAUCUAAAUAAACAUUUGCACCAGGUAAAAAUCCAUAACUAUUUAAAGUCAAGUACUUCAACACAAAUAGUUUGGACUCCCAAUAGUUUCCAUAAAUAAUCUGAAAACUCCAAAUACUAAAUUAAACAACUCCAAUAUUAAAAUUCAACAACUUCCUGCUAAGGCAUUGUCUUCCCCAAUCAACAAUAAUCCAAUAAAUGAAUAAACUUGAAUAAUCCAUUGACAAACAAAUCAAAGAACUAAACCUACUAUGAAAUAUAACUUCUACGAUCUCAAACUCCUUCCCGAACAACUGGAUCUACACGAGCCUCCUGGUGUUGCUCCCGAUCGUACUCAACUGGUUGCUCUCCUCCACCUACGCUCCAUAAGGAUACGCACCCACGUGCAAAACACGCAACAUGGGUCAGCAAACUAUGCUGGUAUGAGUAGACGAGGGUAGGGAACUCCAUUCCCAAAAACAAUAAUAUAACAGACUCCGCGGUCUUUAUACAUUUAUCUCGUUUACUAAGUAAAUAUUAUAUGUUAUAAUAAUACAUUACCUGAGCUGCACCUCCUAUUAGGAUAGGUCGAGCCCUGCAAGAAAUGUUAAUUGACCUAUCCUCCUGCAAAACUGUGUUAGUACAAUAAUAUAUAAUUCAUGGCAUCUCAAGUCUCGACACUAUAUCUCAAUCACUACAAAUCAAUCAUUACACCCAAACAACACUUCACAACCUAUACCCAAUCACUAGUACAUCUCCCACAGGAUGCACUCCACACAUUUGCCAUACCCACACUGCACCAGUGUGCCUUGACCAUGGUUAAGACCCUCUACGUGGAAACCAAAACCCAAGUGGGUGCUCACCUGCAAGCUUUGGCUAGCCUCGACGUAUGCCUAACUCAUGGCCUCUACUAGCUCCCUUUAGCUUUCUAAAGUGGCGCCCAGACCAACCCCGAAGGCUAUGAAGGUCUGUAGGGUCAGUUCCGCAGGCUAAGCCAUCUAGGAAAUACCCAAAUAUAUUUCAAGAGUCAACCCGCAGGCUAAGCCGUCUAGGGUGCUAAUUAAUUUCUUAAUCCUAAUUCCACAGGUGCGGCAAAUGUACUAAUGCUUGGGCGACUACCAAAACAUCUAAACUAUCAAUCAAUCAAGUAACACUCGAUAAUAAAAUUACACAUCAACUUCACAUUCCAAUUCCAUUUUGUAUUCCUUUUACGUUUUUUCCAAAUUAAUCAAAUACCGUUCAUGGUAUAUAAAGCCAUUCCAAGGCAUUCAUUAACAAACUCCUCAAAUUUAAUAUCAAAAUAUUUUUAUAUUUUCCAAAAUAAGAAUUCUAUCUACAGUACAACCACAAAGAGAACACAUUCGGCGGAUAAUAUUUACUGUACCACUAAACUACAUAAAUCCCUAUAGCCCUAGUCUCAUUAAAAUUCUAUCUAUUAGUAUAUAUAUACCUAGUCCAAGUAGGUGAACAGUAACCAAGAGUGAUAUCGAAAACUCGACAAUUUAUGAUCACACGUGCCCAUUUCCAUACAAUCAAGCAAUUCUGUAACCCAAAGUUCUAAUGAUUUAAUGACUAUAUCAGAUCAACUCAUAUCAGAAAAUUUCAAGAUAAGAAAACAUAUAUUAUACAUACUUAAAACCAUUUGAAAUAAAAAUUAUUUAAUAAACCAAAAUAUAAAGCAGUUGGUGAACAACUUGAAAACAAACAAAUUCCAACACAUAGCCCGUGCACUAUUGUUAAACAUUAACACACCAUCAUCACCUGAUUGUAUACCAACGGUUAUUAUCAUAUCUUUUUAUUUAUGUAAUCAAAUAGUAAGAAUCUUAACAUCUGUAUAUAGAUGAAUACUAAUAUUAAAUAACAAUAUAAUAUAGAUUAACUUAUAUCCACUCACCUGCUACCACUAUUGUUCGUCUUCUUCCACCAGCUUCUAAUCUGUGCGAGUCUGUGGCGCUCCCGUCACCACAACCACUGCUACUUCUUCUUCCCCCUUAACCCCAAAUCUCUGAAUGUUGAGUUUUCCGAAACUUCCUAUCCUUUCCACCUCUGGGUCGCCGCCACUCUUUCUCUCUUUUCUUUUCGUAAACCUUUCUUUUUUUAUAAACGCAAACAACUUCUGAUCUCUAGAUAUAGCUAAGAAUCUAUCCUAAGACGGUUCAUCCAACGCUCACCAAUUAAUCAAAGUGGGAUCGUGCUCCCGAAUUACCAGCAAAGAAAAAUCUGUUCGUGGGUUAUUUUUCAUCAAGUUUGGUUUAUUUAAAUCAUAGUCCUCCCACUUUAUAGUAAUUAUAAUUAAACCCUUGGUCCAGGGACUUGUACCCAAUUACUCUUAAUUCCAAAUUAAAAUUUGCAUAAAAUAUAAAAGAGGGGGGGUUUACACCCCUACCCGUAGAUAAAUCAGAUUUGGGCCGAGGCCUGGUAUAAGGCUCGAUGGGCUGGGAUAGAACAAAGCUACAGAGAUAAAUCUAAAAAGGCCCUUUGGGGUGGUAAGGCCUAGUGCCAAGAUCAGAGAAGGAUUGACUUUGUUUGUUUGAAGUAGUCUUGGAAGUUGUAGCGCGCAGCUAAAAGCAACUCAAUCCUUCAAAAACCAUAAUGACACUUCGUUUGUAGAGCUAGAAGACCAUUUCCUGUAGCAACCAAGAAAAAGAGUGCAACCAUCCAUGGCAGCCCCAAGCGGAGAGAAGAUGAAGAACAUUAAGAUUGAGCCUGAGGAGGAGGCUCCAGAGGUAAUGGUCAUGUCUGUAGGUGAGACUUUGUGCAAGGAACAUUGGAAAAAAGUAGUGGAGCUAGUGCAGGAGAGUAAGAGAGAUUGCGCUGCAUGUAAGGCUUGUAAAGGGGUGGAGAGGUCGAUUCCUCAUGUGAAGAAAGAGAUCAAAUUGGAGGAGAUCGCUGGGUCAUCAUCCAAGGUGAAGGAGGAGCCAAGGGAGCUGGUUUUUCCUAAGGUGGAGCCUAAGGAAGAACUAGUUAUUCCUGAAACUGAUUCUAUGAUUGGAGAGCCAUAAAUCCCUCCAAUACCUGCUGAACAGGAGGAUGAGCAUGAUCUUGAUGCGCCUUUGUUUGGUGGAGAUGUUGAAGUUGCAGGUGAGCAAACCCUAAUCUGCAAAACCAAGAAUUGAAAUCAAUUUCUUAAUUCUGUUUAUCCAGGGAAUAGUUGAUGAUGAAUUAAUUUAUUCUUCCGUGAAUGGCAGAUGAUGCUGAUGAUGUUGCUAAAGAUGAGGAUGAGAUGGAGGCAGAUGAUGAGAUGGAGGACUCUUCCGAAUUUUCCUCUUCUACCACCACUGGAGGAGAUAAUGAUGAAAUGGAUAUGGAUGGGCUUGAUUCAGAGGAGGAGUACAUGACUCCUUCUGAUGAUGAGUGGGAGGUGGAAGAGUAGGAGUAUGAGCCCACUGAUUCCAAUGCAGAAGAAGACUGAAAAUCAGGCAAGAAAAUUACUUAGUUAAGAAUGUAGACUAUUAUCAAUCAAGAUUAUCAAACAAUGAUUUGUAUGUAAAUUGAAUUGAAAAUCUUGAUCUUAGAUGAAUGUUAUCUAUUUACUUAAAUCUAUUGUCUAUUUACUUGUCAAAUUUUUUUAUUGUUCCCGAUCCAUGGAAGGGGUUGAAUGCCCAUAUAUUUUCUCCACAUAAAAUUUGCUUGAGUUCUGAAUGAGAGGAGACAAAUGUAGCUUCAUCAGCUUUAAAGUGCAAUCCCAUGCUUGCAAGAAAAUCUGCAACCCUGUUACCUUCCAUGUAGGUGUGAUGGACUUGUAUAUUGAGAGAUGUAGCCAAGUCCCAGAUUUUAUUUCACCAAAUACUUAGGUGCCAAGGGACUGAUAUAGACUUGAUGAACCAUUUGCCUGAUUAACUUAGUAAUUUAGUAUGAAGUAUAGAUUUUGUGUUACGUUAUUUGUAUUAUGUGUUUUUUUGAGUUUCGCAUUGUGUAUGGGAACUCUGUAGGACAACCAUGGGAGCGCAUCAACCUUCCUCGUCCGAUGAUAGUUGUUUUGUUGAAGAUGUUGAUUACUAUGAUCGUGUUUAUAGUGCACUUGAUCGUUCUAUGUGCUACAAACUUUUUAAUAAAUUUGAUGGUCCGUAUAAUGUUGAAGAACUAACAGUCUCGUUAGAUGAAGCGAAAGUGAAGGUCACAAAAGAAGUGGACAAUGUGUGUUCCCUGAGCAUCCAGAUUCAAUAGAUAGCAGUAGUGUCUGUGUUAUGCACGGCUUGGGAAGUUGAAUAGAGAUAUAGAAUAAUUUGAAUAGAUAUUACGAUCGAUUGACAUUUGUUUGUAUAACGUUGAAUUUGUGUAGAGAUUAUGAUCGCUUUGGAAGAUAUCCAAUAUGUUAAAGCAUGCAAUGUUUAAAUAAGCAAAACCAAACAGUACAUAGUAAAAUUAAAAAACAAAAAUGAAAUUAAGAGUGUAAAAUGCCUAAAGAAUAAAUGAUCGGCUUAAUUUAUUAGCAAAAGAAUCAAUGUUUAGCUUCUCUUUCAUAAGCCAGUGUCGUGUGAGAAAGCACAUACAGUAUUGACAAAUAAAAAAUUAACGUAGCAAACAUGAUUAUCAAUCAUCUGCAUUGAGUCGAAAAAGAAUUAAUGUUUUGCUUCUCUUUCAUAAGCCAGUGUCGUGUGAGAAAGCACGUACAAUAUUGACAAAUAAAAAAUUAAUGUAGCAACAGGAUUAUCAAUCAUCUGCAUUGAGUAAUGAUGAAAGGCUUCAUGAGUAGAUAAGAAUGGACAAAAAAAAACAAAAAAUAAAACACAAAGCUAAAACAUAAAGAACAACAUUGGAAUACUCUGUGAUGAAUUAUUUUUGUACAAAUAAUAUUGCGUAUCAUACAUAUGGUUUGAAAAGGUUGUGUACAUACUUUGUUAAAAAAGUUGUGUAUCAUAUAUAUCAUUAGGUUGUACAUAUCCAAUGUUUGAGCAGCAGUAAGACACACUGCGCUUUCUCUUCGAAAAACUCUUUCUUCUUGAAGGGUUUAGUUGUGUGACGCCGACUCAUUAUAUCCAUUUCCUUUUCAAAUGCAGUAUGUAGAUCAUCUUCUACUCAAUCUCUCAUACACAACUAUUGACAGUCAUUAGAGUUGUUCUUUGUCUCAAAUACUACUAAGAAAAGAAGGAAAUUGACAUCAUAAAUAUUUAAUUAACAUUAAGUUAUAAGUCAAACCAAAAACCAAAAACCAAAAUUAAAUUAAAGUAAAUUUAGAAUUAAAAACAAUAAUGAAUGAGGUGAAGUUUUCAUAAUUAAUUUGAUUCGAACCUCCUGCCCAACUUUAAGUUGAAGUCGCUAGUGAGAAGUGUGGGUUAACCUCUCUAACCACAUAUACCAUCUCUGCCAAUAUAUACUUCUCUAGCUGCUCUAUAUUCUCAUAAAUAUGUUCUUUUUAAGCAUUGAACUCUCGUCCACUUUUAAUGUAUUUGACCAACAUUGCGUAUAUGGCACCCAAUGUGCAAAAUGUUGCCUAAUCGUGGUAGAAAAAAGACGGUUUAGCAGUAUGACUAAUCAUAUCAAAUUAUUCUGGCAUAUCUUAAUAUAUUUAGAAGUUGAAUAAGCAUAUUGCUGAAUCCAAAACUCCAUAUAACUUGGAAGAGCCUAAAGAAGUAAAUCAGAUUAGAAUACAAAUUCAUAUUGUGAACUAAAUCAGGUGAUGUUAGAUGGAGUUCUUUUCUGAGUAAAUAAGUGGAUCUCAUUGUGCACUUGAACAUGAUUCUGCGAAGAAUGUUCUACUCUAGGUCUUCAAUUGAAUGGCCAAGCCAAAAUAAAGCAAGAAAAGAAUCAAUUAACGAUCCAUGUAACAGGUAGUAAACAUCCUUUUGCACAAUAAACAUUAUUCUUUGUUGCAAAUUUUUUGUGAUUUCUACCUACAUAUUUGAUUUUAACAUAUAUUAAAAGAGUGAGAUGGUAAGUAUAAUCUCUGCUACAGAUUACAAUUUUUGGGUUUGAGCUUUCGAUUUCCAGCUCAAUCUACCAAACAUGUUACUAUGUACAUGUACUCCCUAUUAAAAUACCUGUAAGGAACAAUUAUUUUUAUUGUAAACAAAUAGUCUAAUUAUGAUGUAAAAUAAUAGUUUAAUUAUGAUGGAUACUUUGAUUUCAAUUAGUGGUUGAUAUCUUCAUCAAUAACUUUUUUACUUCUGAUGUUUUUUUUUUUUAUUAGAUAAGCGCUCUAUUCUCUUUGUAGUAGAAAGGUUUUUCUUUGCGUGUGGUUCUUGUAAGUAAGCAACUUAAAUCUUUUUCCAUACCGACAAUUCUCAAACAAAAACGAAUUCUUAUAGAUUAGCACUACCAAAAUUGUCUAAUCUCAUUGAUCUUUAUGAACAGAAAAACAAACAAAGAUGGCAUUUAUACAGAAGUUGCUCACCUUGCAUGUUAUUAGUCUAUAAGUUCCACAUGUUGGUGUUUCGUCAAUCAAUUCAACUGUUCUUACUUUGGGGGGAUUGAAAAAUUAAUAAUAGCUCUCUCAAAUUGGAUCUGCCAUCUUCAACUUCCAUUGAAUUCCUACAUACGAAGCAAUAACAACUAAUUAGGAAGCAAAAUAGCACAAUGGUCUAUGAGAUAAGAAGAGAGAUUCUCAAAUUCUCAUCUAUAUAUUUGGUAUACAACUAUUGAACACCAUCACCAAAAUAACUGAUAUUUCACUUAAUACCUCCUAUUUGAAAAAAAAAAAACCCUCCUAUUUUUAGCAGCCAAUAUAAUUCGGAAGAAUAAGAUUAAUACAAAUUAGGUCAACUUCUUCUUUUACCAGAUUUACUUUAGUCAUGUUGAAUCUACACUGAAAAGAGUUGGAUUCAGUGAUAUCAAGGAAGCUAUGGUUAGGCCCUAAGAUAAAGCCAAUUUAAGAAAACAACCACAAACAACACAUGAUUAGGGCCUAAGAAAAACUAUGGUUAAUGGCUAUGGUCGUUUUGCCUAAGACAUAUAUAAGCGAAAAUAAAUAACUACUCUGGUUUUCAAAUCUGAUCGAUUCAUUUCAUUUAAAUUCUAUGUCAUACUGUAAAAGCUCCUAUUAUAAUUUUAGAGUGACAAACUAAAUUAAUAAUGAAUAAAAGAAUUUGUUUGCAGACCAUAUUGAUCUAGAAAAUAAAUCAAUCCAACAACACGUCAGGUGUUCAAUGGUAACAAAAUCUGUUGCAUGAAUAAAACCUAGAUGCUCCCCUAAUUGUAAGAAACCGACUGAAAACAUCAAUCCUAUGGAAGAGAAGAUUAACUUGUGCAUAAAAUGCUUUGACAUACCUCGGUAUAUGAAAUUAUCCAUAGUUGUCACCACUCAUUGUAGCAAUCCUUCUCAUUGCAAUAUCACAACUUAACAUUCUACCUCAUAGUCUCAUAGAUACACUUGAUUCCCGUGCCUUUAGCUGCCAUUCGAAGGGAAACAUAUCAAUUAAAAAAAAUGAAUUUGAAACAUAGGAGACAAACAAUGCAAUGACAAAUAUAUUAUCGAGAAAAUUCCAAAGGUCCUUUAAACAUAUAAAAUAAAAUAUUAUUGGCAUGUUUUAUGUCAGACAUUAAUUACUAAGAAAUAACGGUUUACCCUUGCAUUUUUUGACUAAUGUAAGCCUAUGAGGUUGAUAACUAUCAAAAAAUAUUUUUAAGAGAUAAUGCAAGCCACCAAGUUCGUAAAAAAUCUUUGUACUCAAAUCUUUGUCGCCAUUAAUUUUUUUUCCUAGUGUGAGAUGGUGAUCGGAGGGAAGGGAGCAAUUUUUUUUUUCUUAAUAAUUCCUAAAGCACAAUUGUAGUUUGAUAUUGUAAAUCGGCUUAUAUAUUCAGAACGUUUAUUCCGACAUCUCAGAACAUGUCACUGAUGUCAGUAGAUUAUAACUAAAUGUCAGUUGUUCCUAAUGUCAGAACACUAUCCAAUUCAGAUUCAAUACUAACGGGAAGUUAGUGAUAUGAUACUGAUUUUUCUAUGGAUUCUUUAAUUUAAUGUACACGGUACAGUAAUAGGAUUGAACCAACUUUUCGUUGAAUUAUAGAAAUAUCAAAUAACUUACCUUCUAUGGAUUUUUCUCAACCGCAACCGUCAGAAGGUCAUUCACUUGUCUGCUAGACGAAAUUUCCAAUCAAAAGGUGGAUUCUUGUUGUGAAAUAUAAUGGACUUCAUACUUUUAAAACAACAAUUACAUAUCAUUCACAAAAGUAAUGAUUUUUAACCAUCAAGAUCUGUAGUUAACACUACAUAAAACAGAUAAAGAAAAACUUAAAAUAUGAAAUUAUAAAAAAAUUCAUUUGACAUGUAUGUUUUAUAUGCCUAACACAAAUCUUUUUCAUUGUCAAUAUAAUUUUUUUUUCUAUUAAUAAAAUUUUAGCGGUCAGUUCCCCUCGGCCAGCCUACAAUUCAAAACCGAGACCAACAAACAUGAUGACAAACCAAAUUUUGUCUGCAAAUCUAAUCAGACCAUAAUUUUGAGGGGUGUAUACGCAAACAUUAAUUGCGACAAAUGAUCAAAUUCCUUGUACCCUAAUUUGGUUAAAACUUGAAUGACCUUUUGGCUGAAAGAAACAGAGAAAUCGUACAAAUAAGACAAUUAAACCAAGUAGAAAUAAGAAGAAAACCUGUUUUAAUUGAAGUGAAGAACAAUUUCAUCACAAACUUGGAUACAUUGAUUGUGGAGUUCUUCUUAACCUACCUCUGAUCUAAGAAUGGAUGGUCAUAUAGGCUCAAAAUAUAUUGAUUCAUUGAGAAAACAAUGAUGCAUUAUUACAAUUACACAAAAAAAUAUGCAUCCAAGUCUAAACAGCAUCUCAAACUCCGUUCACGGCGAACAACAGUAACAUGUUGAUCCAUUACUUAAAUCAAUAUUAGUUCUACUUCAGAAGUGCAGCAAGAUAUUGACAAACAUAUUAGUUUAAUCAAUAUAAAUUUUAUUUACAGAGAUCCAUAUUGGUCUAAGAUAAAGAUCUAUUUAAUAAAUUCAAUCCUUUCUUUUAACGGAAAUUUGGAAACAAAAUAAUUCCAAAACAAUACAAAAUAAAGAUAUUAUAGAUACCUCAUUUAGGUUAGGCGUCUGAAGCCCGAAGGUGGAGAUUGUCUUUUGGUAACGAAGGUUUAAUAAGAUUGAGAAAGUUAGUAGAGACUAUCCUUUAUUGGUAUGUGGAUGUGGAUUAUUAAUUAAGAUCAAACAACCCAAUGCAUAAUGAUGAACCACUACUAUUUGCAAUAGAUCCGGACAAACCUUUGCAAGAAUGGAAAAAACUCAUAUCAAAAUAUUUUGCAAAAAUCUAAUAAUUAGACAUACUGAUCGAUUGAAAUUUCAACAACAAAAAUUUUUGAAGUAAGGAAAACAUUAAAGCGGAAUUGAGAAAUCUGCACCAAAAUAGGCAAAAAAAAUGAAAACAAAUAAAUAUAAAGUAAUUGAUACUAUGAAUGGGGGAAGAAAUGGAAGAAGGGUGUAUGUCUAAUUGAUACUAACCUCUGUAUUAAUGGGGGAAUAAAUGGAAGAAGGGUGUAUGUCAUGUGUCAUAUGUAAUGUGUGAGUCUUUUCGGUAUUCUAAUUCAACUCUAUCUACCACAUAUUAAAACGAUAAAUCAAACAAUAUACAAACAUUAAAAUCACAAAGUUAUGCAUUAGCUAACCUGACUGAAGACCACACAAAGUGCAUAUUCUCAAUCCCCAAGUGUUAACAAAAGAAAGGAACUCGGAAAAAAAAUUAGUAAUUGAGCCAAGAGGAUAAUAGUCUUGUACUUGUAUAUUAUACUUUUCUUCUUAUUCAAGCUUUUUUGUUUUCAUGCUCAAUAGUAACGGAGUGCAGGUGCUAACAACAAACCUGAUAAAUAAUUUUAUUGAAGACAUCCAGUGUUCUUUUAUAUUGAAAGCAGUCAGAAGAUCACAUUGUCAUGACACCAAAAUAUCCACUACGCGAGCAUAAUGGAGAACAUCUCAAAUUAGAAAAAUCUGCGAAAAAAAAGGCUUAAGAUAUUAACCGGAUAUAUAAAGUGUAUGAAAAAAAUUAGAAGCUUUAAUAAGAUCUUCCCAUGUAUAACAAUCACAAUGCCAGCAUCUGUGUUAAUCUACAUAUAUGUUCAAAUCAGAUAGCUAAUUCAUUAGUUACAAAGGCUAGUGUUAAGACUUGUGGUGCAGGACACCAUGAGAAUUGUUUUGUACAUAGAAUCGUAGGCAAAAUUGACAUGAGCUGACUACUUUCCUUUUGCUUCAUUAUUUCCAAAUCCCUCAUUAAAUUUAAUUGUCAAACAAACUCUUUGAAAGGAAGAUACAAAAAUGUCAGAAACAUAUUGUAUUUGACAUCAUAUUAGUAAUAUGAUGUGAGAAUGGUGAAUUAGGAGCUACAACAGCUUGUGCUUGCAAACUUGUUUACAAAACAAAGGUGGGGAAAAAAAAUUAACUAAAAAAGAAAAACAUGGUAUUAAAAACGAUAAUCAAACAACAAAUGAUGGCAGUUUGAAUACCUUGGCAAGGUCAAGGGGAUUGACAAAAAUCGCAGGAAAGAAUGCUGCACCAGCAAAAAAAAUCAGAUUCCGUAAGUGAUUUUUUUUUUUUUUUUUUUUGGAAAAUCACUUUAUUAAUAAGCUCAAAGAAUCACAUUACUUAAUUUUUUUGAUAAAAGUAUUCGAACAGAUCAAAUCUGCAUCAAUUUCUUUAGAAUUUUAAAAACCAAGGCAUACAAAAUGGGGAAAAAACCUUACCGCAAAGAAAUUAAAUAGAUCAAGUGAACAAUAUAAAUCAAUUUCUGUAAUUGUUGCAAUUCUUCUAUAUUAAGUCCUUGGAGUUCUUCUCCCCUCAUAUUCCUACAUAAAAACCAAAAUACUACAAAUCAAUAUUCAAAUGCAUGCAUUUAAUUUGAAAGCUUACUAUUAGCAAGCACUCUAUGUACCUCAAUUGAUGGCUUCUCUCAAUGACUUCCUUGCUCAGCCUGGCAUAAUUGCCAUUCUCAAGCUGAAAUGCUCACCAAAAUAUCACAAAUCAAUUUUCUUGGACAGUCAUAUGUAAUGUACAACAGCUCAAGUAAUAUGUGGAGGAGCAUAAUCAAUGAUAGAAGAUGGAAAAUAUUAGUUUCACACAUGGAGUUUCGAAAUUGAGUGCCUAUGAUGGAAAAAGUGUCAAUGCAAGAACUGUUUCUUAACUGAAAGAAAGAGGUGGUAUGUAUGCUCUCAAUAAAAAGACAAAUAUUGAAAAAAAUCUGCAGGUUAUACACGUUCCUAUCGAAGCAUUAACUAAAACCUGUGUUAACUGAAAAUGGAUAAAAACGCACUUCUGGCUGACAUGGUUCCCAUUCUGGUCACGCACACACCUCAUGAUAUGACCAUCAAGCUUUGUAACCAUUUCAGUCUGCUGAUCCAAAUCGACAACUUCUAUUGCCUGCGUCAUCGAAUUCAUUUUUUUUAGUCCAAACUACAAAGUUAUAACACUAUGUACGGAUAUAACGACCAGCAAGGAAAACAAUUGUGGACAAAUUUCAAAAUUGCCUUUUCGAGGAUUUCAAUUUCAAAUCCAACAAAAUGAAUUCUACUCAAAAUCAUAAACAUCCAAAUAUUUAUUAACCAAUUCAGCAAUGAAAAUUAUAACUUUGAAAUGUUAGAUUUUCAAAGUUUUCUAUCUCUCUUAAUCAAACUUUCGAUUUUCAAUUAAAACACAUAUAACAAAUCAAAUCAAUAAAAUUAAUUUAACGUAACAAAACAAAUGAAAAUCGGAUAAAAUAAAAAAAAUACAAUAAAAAAAAUAAAUAAUAAUAAUAAUAAUAAUAAUAAUAAUAAUAAUAAUAAUAAUAAUAAUAAUAAUAAUUCUCCUUUUUAUAAUAAAGCACAGCCCCCACGGGCAAAAAAUUCUCAACAGAUAGCACAGAAUCCUCUAGCCACGUCAACAAAAUUAGAGUAGAUUUACAGAUUCAACAAAAAGAUAGCACAGAAUUCUCUUCUUUACCAAUCGUUGCUAUCUUUUUGUUAAGUGUAUCCAAACGCCGAAUUUCUCUCUACUUCGUAACUAUCGGAGCAAAUCUUCACUAACCGGCAUGUGUUACCAGUCAUGUUUUAACGAAAAGACACAUAAUGAUUCGUCGCUAUUUUGUGAAGUUAUAAAAGGAAUUAACAGCAAUGGAAUUCGUCACUUUCCUUUUUUGCUUCUCCUCUUCAAACCGAUCUGCAUGUGCCUCUGCUGCCAAAAGACAAACAAAUAAUUUUGGGAAGGUUAGAUUCUCAAUUCUUUCUAUUUUUCUCUUCUUUCGUAUGUGAAUUUUUAGUAGAUAUAUGGAGUAAAUAUUCUUCCUUUUUAUGUUCCAAAAUUACAGCAAUCAUUGAUUGAUUUAUACAUAGAGAUGUUUCCUUACUGGCUUGAUUCACUACAAUUUGGGUUCAUUCUAAUUUUGUUGCUAUUUAUACUAACAAAAUAUUACAUCAAUUAUUUUCUAUUCAGUACAAAUCCGUGCUUGCCUUUCUAAUUCUUGGUUUCCUUAUUGGCAUGAUUCACAUUCACUACAUUUUGAAUUACUUAUAGUUUUGGUUCGCUUUAUACUAAGAGAAGAUUGAAUAAUUUUGUAUUCAUUACAAAUUACAUGCUUGCAUCUGUUUUCUAAUUUUUUUUUUUACCUAAAUGAAUAUGUUUCAAUGGGCAUGAUUGUUUUUCCAUUUGGAUUUUAAAUCAUCCUUAUUCAGGAUUUGGGAACUCAUUUUUGGUAUUUUUAAUUUUUGAAAACUAGAUGUUAUUAUCUAAAAAUUACAGUAAUGCUAAUAUCCACCAUACAAAUUUUUAUUUCAAUUUUCAAUGCCUUUGAUAAACUGUUUCGAUAAAAUUCUGUUAUUGCAGACAGGUGUCAAUAGAAAAUGGCCUGCACCGACUAUCACUACCUAUCUGAAAUCAAUGAUAGUUCGGAGCGAUGGAAGGUUAAAGUCCGUAUUUCAAAAAAAUGGAAUGUUAUUGACUUUGAGAGUCAGGAAGACACCUUGCAAAUUGAUAUGGUUCUUCUGGACGAGAAAGUAAGCAGUUCUCAUAAAAGUACAACUGCGACGUAAUGUUAUAGGGGAAUCAGGUAUUAACUAUAUUUUAAUUCUUGCAGGGGGAUCAGGUGCACGCUACCAUUCCCAAGAGACAGAUAAUGAAGUUCUCUACCAUUCUACACGAGGGGGAUGUUUAUUUUCUGCAUAAAUUCGACGUGUCUCCAGUAAAGAGCAAUUAUCGUCCUGUUUGUCAUCCGUAUAGGGUCUUUCUGAAGUGGGACACAAUGAUUAAACCGGAAACUAACAUACACCCACUUUCCCAAAAUUUAAGUUCGAUUUUAUUGAAUAUGGUGAUAUUAAGCUAAGGCUCAAAGACAAAACCUAUUUGACAGGUGAGGAUUGAUAUUGUUUAUGCCUUUAAAUUAUUUUACAUAUUUAUCAUAUCUAAAAUGUUAAACAAUACUUAAGUUUACCAUCGUUUCAAUAUAGAUGUGUAUGGACAACUAACAAGGUUUACGAAUGUCAAAAAUGUGGAAUCUGGAACACUCCAAGAGAUUUUUCAAGAUAAAAGGUAUUUGGUAGUCAAAUAUGUAUAAUGUUUAGAAGCAGAUAUGUGCUACUCGCAAAUAUACUGUUUUGCAAAAAAAAAAAAAAAAAAAAAGAAUAAAGAAAAAAAAAUUACUAUUUCUAUUAUUAUACAAUAGAGUGAUAGUUUUGUUUCACACAUAUGUGUAGUGGAAGUAACUUGAAAGUUACACUGUAGGGACGUGCGAUAGAACAAUUUCCAGAUAAUAUAGUCAACUCAUCCACAAGCUGCCCAGUGGUGGUAGUUACAUCAUUAACAGUGAAGCUCUUUGACGGUAAAUUCAAUUAGUUUGUGGAAUUUAUUUAACACUGCAUAUGCAUCAAUCAAACCCUAUUAAAUCUUGGUUAUCUCACUUUCUUUUGUCCUAGGGGAAUAUUCGGUCUCAUCAACUACUGCUACAAAGCUAUAUGUUAAUCUUGAUAUUUCUGAAGUUGCUUCUUUGCCCAUGGACAGGUUCAAAAUAUGUUUCCAUCAAAGUUUUACAUGUGACUUUUAAUAUGGCUUAAAUCUGAGAAGUUUAUAUCGAUUAAUUUAUAUAACUUUGCAGUAAUGAAGAAAACACAGUCCAACUGAUCGAUGCAUCGUCAACAGCUAUCACUCUAGAGGAAAGGAUGGUCAACAAUAGGAAAAAAUUGGUUGAGAUUGUGCAAGCAGUACCAUAUACAUCCAUUGUGAGUUUGCUAUUGUGUUUUUCAAAAAAAUAUAGAAAUAAAAAUUAAUAAAACUAAUGCUAAGAGAUUAUGAAAUAUGGUUCUCAUUUAAAUGCAGGGAGAAAAGAUUACUUUCAGGGCUACCAUUUCUGAGAUUAUAUAUGAUUUCGAGCCUUUUUAUUUCUCUUGCACUAGCAAUGAUUGUCGUAAGAAAGUUGUUUAGAGACGUAUCAAGAAGCAUUGGUGUAACAACUGUACGGACUUUAUCGAUUAUCCAGUUGCAAGGUAAUGUUUUUUUUUAUUCUCGGUACCCAUAAGUAAGAUUAAUGAAGCUAAUGAAGCCUUUUUUAAAAUAUAAAAAAAAAAUCAAUUUUUCUGACAGGUACAAAAUAAUUGUUCGGGUUCGAGAUCACACAUAUUCAUCCUUGAUAUCUAUAUUUGAUGGAGAGGUUGAACGUUUGUUGAAGCGGCCAGUUACAGAAAUGGUGGACUUAAAUGCAAUGGUAUAAAAUGUUCUUUCCGUUUUCUUAUAAAAUGAAUGUGGUCUAUAGAAUCUAAUAUGAAAAUUUUACAGGGCAAUGGUGCGGAAGCUGUGAAGGAUAUAUUGGAGAAGCUUGUUGGUUUAGAAUUUAUUUUUGAAAUAAAAAUUAGUGACUUCAAUAGGCGUGAUGAUAGUGAGGUUCCCUCAUUUACAACAUCGAAAGUUUUAACCGUAGAUCAAGAAAUAGAGUCCAAGCAUUUCCCAAAACAGAUUGAGGUACAUCUCUAUAUGUUAGAUGCAUUAUUUACAUAUGUUCUUGAUCAAAUACCCUGACAGUUAGUUAAUUAUAUAUGUAGGUUGACAACAAAAUGAAAACGGUUGCAAAAAACAUUGCAGACCAGAAAAUGAAAAGGGUUGUAGAAGACACAACAGAUUAUGUAUGUUCAAGUCAGAGCAAUGUUGUCCAAGAUGUUCACAAUAUGGUAAAUAUCCAAGUUUUAUUAUAUAUAUUAUCUUCAGUUCACUCAAAGGGUACUAAAGUCAAAAUCUCAAGUGCAUGUAAUGUUUCGGUGUUCUCAUACUAACAAUACAUUCUGUACAUCUAUUAUAGGGAACCUCCCCAUCAAUAAAUGAAGUUCAUUUAGAAGAAGUGGAUGAUGUAGGUGUGACUUCUAGCCUUGCUAAGGGUAAAAGAAGUCGCAGGAAAUUGUGACGAUGUUGGUAGCGGAUGAGCAAGACCUCGACUUUAAAGAUCGCGUGGAAACAAUGAAAGACCGAUACUUAUUUUAUUAAUAUUAUAUUGUACUAUUUUUUUUAAUGACUAAUGGUUGAAUUUUAAAUGUGCUUACAGAGAUUAUAGAUCUCAUAUGCUUUGUGUAGUGUAAUUACUAAUGGCUGAAUUGUACAAGUUCCUGUUAGUCAUUACUCAACUCACCGGAUCCAUACUGCACAAACUCUGCUGGUAGUUUAUAAUGGACGGAGCUGCACCCACCAAAAUCUCACGUGUUUCGUCGUAAUUUUAUUGACGCUGCUAAAAAAGAUUGUGGAAUGGCUAAAGGGAAUUUUGAAUCUUAUUAUUUUUUUUCACUACAUUAAAAAAUUGUAAACAUAGUUUUUCAUUGUACAAAAUACAAGUGUUGGAUGUUAAUAUCCAUUUUGUUAAUAAAUUUAAAUUUUCCAUAAAUUGUGUCGGGUUUUAGUAUUUAUUUAUAUGAUUAACAUUUUGGAAUUUAGUUCUUCAUAAAUACUUUCUUUAUCUCUCUCAAUGUGGACGUACAGCUUCGACUGUCAGACUCCAUGUGUGUGGCUGAUUGUUUUUCUUUGGCUUUUUGGCAUAUUAUUUUUCAAACUCCUGUUAACACCAGAUAUCCAUUGUUCUAUGUGCUUUAAAAAAAAUAACAAAUAAAAAUAAAUAUACCUCAUUGUUUUUGAAAUUUGAUAAAGAAUGACUAUAACCACUCAUGACACUGCUUCUCUUAGAGAAAGGAGAUAGUUUGUUUUAGUGCAUAGAAAACCAUUAAUAAGUUGGGACUGACCAUAGUAACAGGUCCGAUAAAACAAGCUUAAACCAUUAUUAACAUGUAGCAUCUUGCUGAAGUCUAGGUUGUUUAAAAUAAACUACAUGACCAUCAAAGGCUAAAGCAUAGAUCUUAGGUCAUAAUUAUUUCUUUUUAAAAAAUUAAAAAUUACAAAAUUAAAUUUCACGUAUCUAUUGACAAAAUUUUGUUUUUUUCAAUUUGAACAAGAAGAACUUAAAACAAAAAAUUUCACAUCAUGAUUAUUACUCUAUCAAAAUAUUCUUUCAAGCUUCCCGCUCAAAAGCUAGUAAUACUAAUAAAGUAGAAGAAAUGAAAAACCCGUUUCAGAAUCUGGUUGUUGCUCAACUCUUCCUAACUUCGUUUCCAAUUGUUGUCACAUGUAUUAACCAUAUUUGUGAGGUUGGUCAAUGCAUUAAUGAAAGAUGAUGAUGUGUAUGAUAUGAACAAUAAUAAAGUAGAGACGUGAACACCAUUGUAUACGUGGUUCGGCAAUUGUGCCUACAUCCACGGAGAGGGAGAAAGAAGUUUAUUAUAGUAGUGGUGGUGAUACAAAAUGGGAGCUCGAUUAUGAGGAGAGCUCAAGAGAGAUGAGACCUGAGAGGUGAGGUCUCAUCAUGAGAGAUUGGGGAGGUCGUUGAUCAUGAGACCUCACCAUGAGAACCUGUGAGAAGAUCAGAACAUGCCUAGAAUGAGUAGCUUGCCUUCAUAUUUAUAGGCUACAAUGUAACUCCAUUCUUAACAUUUACUAGGGUAAUAAUGAGAGAAUAUCUUUGUAGUAAUUGGCUUUGACUUUGUAACUUGUGCCAUCAAGAAAGAGUCCAUUAGAUGAUGACAUGUGGCACCAUGAUGUACGGUAGAGAUGGUGCCACAUGUAUGUUGUAUGUAGUACCCCUACAUAAGCCCCCUCUUUUUAGGUUGAACGAAGUUCGGGCUGAAAAGAAGUAAUCGAACCGAUCCAGCCCCCAAGAUGAAAUGUGGGGGUCUUUAACGAAGUCGAUCCGCCCCAAAUUUUGAUGAGCUUGAUCAUUGAGAUUUGCAGGACGCGAUGAAGGUCCCUUGUGGUAAUGGCAACUCGAUCAUAACUUUGUGUGUAGCGAGCUAGUUAGUUCCAGGGAGACCUGGUAGCUCGUUCAGAAGGCAUGUAGACGAGAUGGACAGCUGCAAGCAGGUCGUACUGAAGUGGGGUCUUCUUGUAUGCAUGGGUUGUUGGUCUCAGUCAUGCUUUAAGGUGGUCGCCUUUUUGUGGUCGAGUUGCAUAGACCUGAUAAUGUUAGCAUGUGAAACAUUAUAAAAUUCAAUAAAAGACUUACAUGGAAUUGUACGUCUUCCUUAUGACUUGUAUGUACUAUCUUUGUCGCAUUGUGACUGGACACUUCGAUAGAUAUGGCACUUUGGAGUGCAAUGUAGCUCGUUUGAGAAAGAGCAUUGGUUGACCAAGUGUUUUGAGAGUUACUUGGAACCUUUUGGUGCCCGAUCUAGUGAAUGGUCGCACCGUGGAGACCUGUUUGACAAUUCUCGGGCAUGUGGCCUUUGUGGGUCUGCAUUGCGUUGAGAGUGAAUGCGUUCGACCAGGCGUGUGGCUAGAGAAUUGUGUUUGAGGUCGUCCCGCAUACGAGUGACUCACUAGUCAAUGAGGGUGGCCGUAUUGUAUAUCAAGCAUUUCACUUGUAGAGAGUUCAGUGAAAGCAAUGUAGCACAUUUGUGCAAAAAUAGCUCAUGGGGAGUGAGGUCAUGUUCAUGUGACCUGCACACAGAGAGAGCUACAAAAAAUAUCAUUAAUAGCUAAUUGUGCUAAUAAUAAGUUAAUUUCAUUAGAUAAAGUGAGAAUAGCCCCCUGUAUGGCAUAAAUAUUCUUGAGGUCGUUGAAAGACCUGUAAUUUGAGGAGGUCGUUGAUAGACCUGGUGAGGUCGCGAUGAAGGACCUGGCAUGAAGGACCUGGUAUGAAGGACCUGAGAGGUCGUUGGCUUAGGGACUUGAGAGGUCUUUGGCUUAGAGACCUGAAUAAGAGGUCAGGUCGCGAUGAGACCAAAUAUGAGAUCGAAUAUGAUCUAAAAUGUAUUUACUUUACAUGCUUAUAAGCCAACAACGUUAAGAGAUUUGCAAACUCCAUGCUUCAUUUGUAUGGACAAUAAGAGAAUGAUUAUAUGUAACAUAUAACAAUGUGAGUAAACAAAUGUGAGUAAAGAAAUCAGGUCGCCACAUUUGCGAGCUGAAAAAACCUUCAGCACUUGAUGAUUGAUACAGCAUGAAUAAUAAAUGAGAAUUAAGCCAUAGUCAACAUCAUUAAAGUAGUUCAAUGUUGAAAAUAUAUGAUAAAAUUGAUUGUGGGAUACUGGUGGCCACAUGCUCAAUGGGUGGAAAAAAGAAAAAUCAAAUGUAAUGAGAAUGUUACUGAUAUGUCAUGGAUAAUAUUUGGCUUGUAAUAUGGAUGUACUGAUGUAUCACAUGAUUAGUCAUGAAUGACAGAAUGGCAUACGCGACAUAUAACAUAAAUGGCCAUAUAAUAACCCUAUGGGUAAGGAGUUAACAAUAAGCAGAGACAAUUGAGGUCGCUCUUUGGUAGCCCGUUGCCUCAUCUGAAUGACCAAAAAAAAAAAAAUAUGAAAGUGAUACUUAUCUUUGCUUCUGCCGAGCCCAGUAAUUGUGUAGACAAUUUGGUCCAAGCCCCCAACUAUGAGUUGCAAUUCUAUCUUUUCAAAUUCAAUGAAUUUCUUGAAAAUCACCAUCUGAGAACCUUAGAACAAUGGUGUUCGGUGGGGUUGGUGGGUGGAAUUCGCUUGAGAAAAUCCCAAGUCCCUGUAGUCGGCGCCAAAUGUAUUAACCAUAUUUGUGAGGUCGGUCAAUGCAUUAAUGAAAGAUGAUGAUGUGUAUGAUAUGAACAAUAAUAAAGUAGAGACGUGAACACCAUUGUAUACGUGGUUCGGCAAUUGUGCCUACAUCCACGGAGAGGGAGAAAGAAGUUUAUUAUAGUAGUGGUGGUGAUACAAAAUGGGAGCUCGAUUAUGAGGAGAGCUCAAGAGAGAUGAGACCUGAGAGGUGAGGUCUCAUCAUGAGAGAUUGAGGAGGUCGUUGAUCAUGAGACCUCACCAUGAGAACCUGUGAGAAGAUCAGAACAUGCCUAGAAUGAGUAGCUUGUCUUCAUAUUUAUAGGCUACAAUGUAACUCCAUUCUUAACAUUUACUAGGGUAAUAAUGAGAGAAUAUCUUUGUAGUAAUUGGCUUUAACUUUGUAACUUGUGCCAUCAAGAAAGAGUCCAUUAGAUGAUGACAUGUGGCACCAUGAUGUACGGUAGAGAUGGUGCCACAUGUAUGUUGUAUGUAGUACCAAGAGAGAGUAUUAUUUGGAAAUCAGAAAUAGGGUUUGGAAAUGAGAGAGAGAGAGAGAGAGAGAGAGAGAGAGAGAGAGGGCUAAUUUUGAGUACUUGUCUAUUGUAGAUGAAUUCAUUUGCUUUUCAACACAACUAUGCAAAACCCAAUCUCAAUUUUAAUUAAAAUAAAUAAGAAACCAAUCUCAGUUUAAAUGGAAUUGAAAAAAAUCUGCACCAAAAAAAAAAAAUCUAAAAUAAGAAAACCAAUCUCAGUUUAAAUGGAAUUUAAAUCAAAAAAUUUACAUGGUUUUGACUAAAUCAGUCAUGAAAUCAAAUUUAGAAUCUAUAAUCUAUCAAAUUACUUGGGUUUUAAUAAUUCAUGGAAAAAAUUGGAAAUCGCCUAAACACAACAAUUACCCAUUAAUUGAUUGAUACUUACUCACUUAUUGAAGCCGAAGAGAAUUGCACAAUUAAAAAUCAAAUUUUAAUGAAACAGGGUUUUAAGUUUUGUGAUUUCAUGAAACGGCCGGUAUAUGUAAAAUUUCAAGAAAAACGAACCUGUGGGUGGAAUAAAAAGAGGGAGAAGAAAUGUGAACUUACCAUUCCAAAUUCCAAAUUAAGUAGAAGAAGAGGGAGAAGGAGAGAGACAAAGUCUGUGGGUCAAAAAAAAAAAAAAAAAAGUCACCAACUUACUUCGAAUCUACCUGAAUCUAAAUUCCAAACAGAAUCCACCCAAUUUUGAACGCAGGAAGAAGAAAUCCUCUGAGGGAAGAAAAAAAAUAAAAAAAUAAAUUGUUUAAGAUUUGCCAAAUUCUUGGGAAAAUUGGCGAUAACCCCCCAUAUUUUGACCAGGUUUGGCAAAAACCCCUUAAUUGUGCCAUUUUUGGUGUAAACCCCCCAACCCCCUACUUCAGUAAAAUUUUAACCCAUUAUACCCUUGUUCAAAAAUUUUGCCUAAACCCCCUAAAAUUGACUCAACAGAAGAUAUUAAACGCAAGUUAACUUCCGUUAACAGAAUCUUGUUUGCCUAAACCCCCCUAGGCUUGAAAUCCUCCUCCUUUCUAAUUCCCUCAUUAACAUCACCCAAUAUCAACCUUCUUAGUUUAGCAAACACCAUUAAUUAAUCACUAUAUGAAAAGUGACUUUAUCAAAGGGAUAUCCAUUCUCCAAAAUUUUGUUAAACAAUUCCAUAAUAAAAUAAUCCAUCGAUAAUAUUGUUUAAAGGAAAAUCAUUUGACUCCAAAUCCAAGAUCUAUGCAACUUAAUUGACAAUAACAGUUAAUCAAAAUGCCAAAUUGACAAUAACAACUUAAUCUCAACUAAAACGAUGGAUUAGAACAAAGAAAAUACAUUAGAAUUAGUCUUUAACUUGGUAAUGGUGCCUAAAAGUUGAUUGAAAUGGAUAAUCUACGAAAUGAGUCGUGUUUAAAUAAAGUGAUUGAAUAAAACCAAAGCUUCAUUUAGCGUAAGUGUACCAAAUUUACAACAUUCUCUUACAAAUUUCUCUAUACAUAUUGAAGAAGAAGAAGUGAAGUGGGAUGGAUAAAAGAGAGAGUGAAACGGAAGUGGGAAAGAUAAAAGAGAGAGAAAUUUAUACAAACCUUUGCUACUAUUUCUCUUUCUUAUCAACAUCAUUUCACCAUUGUUGAUGAUUAGAACUUUCUUAAAUAGCAUAAGUAACCACAUGAUUCUCUUUUUUCUUCAAGAUUUGUUGGGUUUGAUGGAAGAUACAUGGAUCUGGGACAAACUAUACUUUUUUUUCUUUUAUGUUUUUCUUUAUUUUAGUGGGGUUAAGGCAAACAAGAUUUUGUUAACGGAAGUUUACUUGCGUUUAAUAACUUCUGUUAAGUCAAUUUUAGGGGGUUUAGGCAAAAUUUUUGAAUAGGGGUAUAAUGGGCUAAAAUUUUACUGAAGUAGGGGGUUGGGGGGUUUACGCCUAAAAUGGCACAAUUAAGGGGUUUUUGCCAAAUCUGAUCAAAAUGUGGAGGUUAUCACCAAUUUUCCCAAAAUUCUUUAAGAGAAGAGAACACAGAUGGCAACGAAGAAGACAGAUGGAAGAGGAAAGGAGACAGGUGGAAGAAAGCCCAGAAAAGAAAACUAACAGGGUGGGCCUGCACAAAGGUUAAAAGAGGAAUUGAGUAUAUAUGGGGGAUAAAAAAUUAAGAGAUUUUUGGACAUACCCCCAUUUGAAAGUCGAAAUUUGAGAUACCCAAAAAAAAAUUUGAGAUACCCCCAAUUCAAGAUGUGGUGUUAUCUUAGCCGUCUAUCAUAAUCCAUCUGUCGAAUUUGGGGUAUCUCAAAUUCUUUUUCAAAUGGGGUAUCUCGAAUUUCGACUUUCAAAUGGGGGUAUGUCCAAAAAUCUCAAAAAUUAAAAGAACAUUGGUUGAACGAACCAUGCCUUGAUUUCCAACCCUCUUCUAUAGAUAGGGAUUUCAAGUUUCAAUACUCAAGAAAUAAAGAAAAACCUCUUUGCUUCUUCAAUACUCCUAUCUAGAGUCUCUCUUUACUUCUACUAUAGCUCUUCAAAACUGUUAACUCUGCUACAACAAAAUCUUCAAGUACUCUUAUCUCCAUAAAGGUGUGUAGGUCUUCUUAUCACUUGUGAUUAUGUUGUUUUUGUCUUUUUUUAUGUGGUUAUUGGAAAUCGAUUGAAAUAAGCAAUGGGUUUUCCUUAAAAUUUCAUUUUCUAUGGUGAUUUAAGAGAUUUUUGCAUUUUAAGAUGAUGGGUAUCUUUGAUUUUGACUAAUUUUGGUCAAGGAAUGUUAUAAAUUAGUCUUUGUAAAAAUCUGUUGGGUGUUUGUUAUGGAAAAUUGAUGAUUCAAGGGGGUAAGAACUGAACAGAUAACAUAUUUUUGGAUUCAACAAGUUUCAAAGUUUUUAGCUGUAUGCAAUCAGCUCACAUGUUGAUGAAUUGAUAAGAAGUUAGGAUAAAAAUGUUUUGGAAAUAGAUUACAGAUUUGCAGUCUUCUUUCAGAAGUCAUUUCUGUCAGAAAGUCAUGUUUUAAAAGUCACACCAGCUCACAUGCUAAGAAGAAUAAUUUUGAUUGGUUAUUUGUGCAGCACACCCUACUUCUCUUUCUAAUUGACUAUAUACAUAAAAUUUACCUUCGCCAAUUUGUAAGAAGUGGAAAAAAAAGAAGAAGAAAAAGGACAAAGGUUAACAUAAUAAAAAACGAAUGGGAACCCAUUACUAUGAAUCAACCGGAGAAAUAAUAGGAUGUAUGAAACUCAAAUUCACAUACCACACACUUUUUUUAAUCAACCUAACACAGGACUAAAGCUUUCUAUUGUCAAACUUAGCAUUUCUGCAUUCAUUAGGAAAGAUUCAUGUAAUCUCAAAAACAAAGCCACUGUGGUGCUGAGACUUUUAAAAUCAUAAUUUCAAUUUAGAGGUAAGCAUUUUAAAAAGGGUUUCUAAGUGUUGUCGAUGAUCUAGGACCCAAGCAAAUUGUAAUCUCCCACACAACUGUUGAAAGUGAGAUAAAAGUGAGAAAACUAACCUAAUAUUUUCAAGUGAAAACGCUUGUAUAUCGGGCUCGUAGGAUCAACUUUGAAACCCAUGCCUUCAAACAUCUUUAACUGAAAUGAAGGAAUAAAACAUGAAAGAAACAAGGGUUAAUUGAAAUGCUCAUAAAAUGUAACAUAAAUAUAUAGCAGACUUGCAGUUCUAAAUGCUCUGUAUGAAACUAUGAAUUAACCAAAUUAUAAUGAGACUCACCUGUUCAAAAAAUCCAUCAUUAGGGCAAACAAACUCACAACUUUGUUGUAAAUUUGUAAUGAUUCAAGCGCAUCUGCAGAACAUGUUUGCAAAAACAUAAGAGUCAAUGACCAAUCAUAUAAUAAAGAUAUCUUGUCGCUACAAAAGUAGCGGAAGGAAAACAUAAAUGAAGUCCACAAAAAAUAAAAAGAAAAUGUUUCAACCUUCAUGCGAGAGUUGUUCAGUUCUCAUCAGAUAUGCUGUAAUGAUAGAUGCACUGCCAUAAACCAAUACAAACCGCUGUAAGUUCAGGUCAGGCUGAUAAUGUAGGAGAUCUAAGCAUAUAGACUAAAACACAAAACAGGAUGUAUAAAAUAAAAUUGUUUCUGUCUUCUACUUCACAAUAUUUAUCCAAGUAUUUUAUAGCUUUUAGGAACUACACAGUAAAGUGCGAACAAUCCUCAACAUGAAAGUACAGUACGUGUGAAGGUCUGGCUUGAUAAAUUACAGAACAUAAUGUAUGAAAUUAAAAUGCUUUUGUCAUCUACUAUCACAUUAUUUUCACUAUUGAAAGGGCGAAAUAGUCGUUAAUUAGAUCGCGCUUUUCAAAACCUUGCUUUGACUACCUAAAAAUGAGUAUAGCUUGAAAAAAGGGUUAUCGAAUCCAUGUCUAAGAGAGAACCAAGUUAAAUGAGAAAAAGAAAUUCAUUUUUUUUUACUAAUCUAGAGAAUAUUGGGAAAUUAAUUUUGCAAGGUAUUGGUGAUUAACUACUAAUAAAGUAAGAAAUAAUUAUAAGAAGAUAAAUAUGAUGAGAAUUUCGAGAGAUUGAAUCCACCAAUUCAAUUAUGUAAUAAUAUAUAGAUUUAUCAAGAUUAAUCCGUAGAUAGAUACUCAUUAUACACUAAGAUGAUUCAAAAUGCAUAAUGGAAAUGUAUGACUUUAAACACUUAUUCUAUCUACAUUAGAGCCUAUCAAUUCUGGAGAAUCAAUGAUACUUCCUAUCAUUAAAAUGUGAGGAAAGACUACAACACAUUGUACAACUAUUAUGUUGGUGGCAAGAAAGAGUACGUUCGUCUUUCAGACCGUCACUCAAUGUGUCCCCAAAUAGCUAUAGCAAAGUGUAUAUUCCACCUACUAAAAUAAAUUAAAGAACUAAGAAGAAAGUAAAUAAACACCGUUAUAUGCUUCAUUUCACAAGUAAAUCAUUGCAAUUACUUACCUCUAACCUUCUCUCGAAGCGCUAGAUCCUUGACCUCCAGCAUUACUCUAAUGGAUUAAAGCUUAAUAAAUAAUAUAUUAACUACUACAUAAAAUGAAAAGGCUUCAUCUCUCCCUUGAAAAAGGGAGAUUAGCCUAGCAUAAUACUAAACUAAAAUCUAUUAAAUAAAAUGACAUAAAAUAAAAGCUAACUAAACUAAAAAGAAGAAGAAGAAGAAUUUUUAUUAGAAUGAGUUUUGCUCUCAACUCUUGAUAAUCAAUACAAUGAAUAGAGCUCCCUAUUUAUAGAUCCAUAGGGAGCCUAAAAUGGGAAAAUUGCAAGAUAUUACAUGAUAUUUGAUUUGAUUGCUAAUCAAAUCAUUUGUGGAAGAAAAUGUCAAGAAUAAAAUCUUUGAAUGAUUGUGAUCAAAGAUUAAUGAAAAACAUGUGUUGAAAAUCAAAUCCUUGCCACCAUUGUUGCCAACUUUGUAUAAAACUGCCAUGUAUAGUGAUAUUCUAGAAGAUACUGGCAAUCUUUCUUGGAUGCUUGAGUUGUCACAAUAUUCUCCAUAUUUUACACAUGCUAGAAUCUUAAGUAUCAACCUUGAAGUGAUUCCAUGCUCCAUCUUCUGUUUAGUAGUCUCACUUCACUUAUCUUCUUAAUGGGCCUCUCUUGGACUUGAGCUUUGUAGAUAAUUUAUGGGCUCAUUUAGAUUUAAUCAACUAAGAUUCAUUCAAGGCUUUGACCAUUUGGAACAAUGACUUUAGGCUUCAUACUUGACUUUUCUCUUUUUGCUCUUUUUAUAUCAUUUUGUAGGCUUUUUCUUUGAUUUAUUCUUUUCUAGGUUCUUUUCUGCAAAAAUACAAAAACAAUAGAUAUUACUCUAAUUCAAGCCUAAAAUGAGUUCUAACAUCAUACUAAUUAGGGGUAUAAACUACGUUUUUGGAUGCUUAUCAACUAUCAAAGACAAUAAAAUUCAAUCAACACUUGGCUACUUGUACAACAAUUCUGAUUAGGAUUUCAUAGUUAUGAAAAUCAACUAUAAUCUAAAUCAAGAGAUUACGAAACCCUAAUUUACCCAAAAUGAGUAAACAAUUUAAACCAAUUAGACCCAAAGCACAAAUCAUUUCCCACAUAAAAUUCAAUUAAUCUAACAGCAAAAUUUAGCAUUAACCAUUAUUUAAAAAUUAAAAUAGAAGAAACAAAACAAUACCUUCUUGAAACACCUGCGAAACAAUGUACUAAAACAGAGCCUUGUUUUCUACUAUUAUCAAUAAAAUCCAAACAAACAUCCAAAUAAUCCAAUAAAUUUUCUCUUUCCAUAUCUCUUAAAGGAACACCCAUUCUUACUAACUUCAAAUCCUUUCCAGCAUAUUCGACCAAACACAUUAACUUCUUCUUCUUCUUCUUCUUCUUCUUCUUCUUAUCACUAUCACUUUCUUCUUUUUCGUAUCCUUAGGCAAGCAUGGAAAUUGGAAAAGUGAACAUUGGAUGUUGUGCCAUGGUGAUGGAAUUAUGUACAGUAUCAUAACUGAAUAUUCUUUUCUUCUUAUACUCUCAAAACCUCAAAGGGAUCUCAUACAAUAAUUGUUAACCAUAUCUAUUAGAUAUGUACCGACGACUUGUGUAGUUGUGCCACCUGUUGAUUAUGCCAAAAGCAGUUUCAAAGAGUCUGGAAACUCAUCUUUGUGAUUGUGAGCCAAUCAGUCACUCAUCACUCUUUUAUUUCAUCAAUAUUUUUACAAACUUUUAAUCUAGAUUAGAGAUUAAAAUUUAGAUAAUAGUACUAUCAUUCACAAUUCACUUAACAAAAAGCAUAAUUUAUAAUUUGUAGACUUGUAGUUAAUCACGAGAUAAAGAAAAAUUGUGAUAUUUUUUUUUUUAAUAGAUAAAAUGGUGAUCAUUGAAUUGAAUUGGAGAUUUGGAUUCAUGUUUUGAACUCUGGUCAAUGUUGUUGUUAGCAAAUGAGGUUGAGAGUGCCUACCCCUUUAAAUACACAUGAAUAUGAACACGUAUAUCAAACAAUCAGUUAUUGAUGUGUUUCCAACCUACUGUGCUCCGCAGAAUAUUUAAGUUUCACAUUCACUUUUUUUCAAAAUAUAUAAUAAAAAUUAAUAAUCACCUAUUGGUUUGCCCAAGAGUCAAGACCAUGAUGGGGCGAGGCACAAAACAAAAUAAAUAAAGAGAUAGAAGAAGUGAAUAUCUACAGAAUAAUGCUUUCACUCGACCCAUAUAUACUAACCAACCCUCUUCAACGGAAGCAACAUUAUUCAGGAUACCUCAUGGAAAUUUUAAAAGAAGAAGGGAUAAUUUAGUCAUUCUAUAAAUUUACACGACGAAAACGUUCGUUCGACAUCACCACCGUUCUUCCUCUUGGUUUCAUUUACAGCAGCAAAGCAACAGAGAAGUAGACAAGAUAAGAUAAGAUAUAAUUAACAAAGCAAUCUUGGCCGUCAGAUCUCUCAGUCAUAACUCCUCCUACCAUAAUAACCAGGGUUAGCACUAAUACUUCCUUCUAUUGUGUUUUUUUUCUGAUUUUUUCUGAUUUUUUUUAUUAUUAUUUUGGAUUUUUUUUUUUCAAAUAUUUUGGGUAAUAGUUAUGUUCUGUGACAUAUAAAUAUGAUUGAUUGGUUGAAUUUAUUGAAAUGGGGUUUGGGAUUUUUUUUUUGUUAUUAGUGUUGUGUAGAAAUUGUACCAUUGAAGAAUAAACUGUUACUGAUUACUUGCCAUAUGUGAUGUAGUCAUAUGUUGGUAUGAAUGGAGAACAUUGAUUAAGCACAUAUUGAAAUGUAAUUGAUUAAACUGUCCAUAAUGAAUUAGAAUGUAUUUUAAGUUAGCUGAAUCGUUUCGUACCUUGUUUCAUUUUCGAGUUAUAUGAGUUAUUAGGCAUGAUUUGACACAAAUUAUACUUGCAUUUCAUAUGACAUAUCACAUAUGGCAAUAGUAGUCAUUUUGAAGUACAUGAUCUCUAACAUCAGGUUAUUGUGAAAGCAAAGUACUAAUCUUGUCAACCUACAGAAUACAAUCAUCAACGACUCAUUUUUUUCUCACUGUAGUUUGAAUUUAACAUGUUAAUCUUCAUUAGUCAUGAGUUUAUUGACACAUGUUAAUCUUCAUUAACAUGGCACAUUUAUGCAAACCUCAUUCGACAUUGCAGUUUUCCACUUACAAGAACCUGUUUGUUGUUGUCUUUGAGACUUAUAUUUUAUGGGAUCCAUAACUUUGUUGAUGGAAGUAUUUUAACAAUAAAAUCUCUAAUCUUUGCAGUUCUUUUUUGACUUUUAUAUUUCCAGGUGUGGUAUACCUGUUUUUAGGGAAGAGCCAAGCCUUCGACAUGGCUCACUUACUGUCAACAUCUUGCUCUUUGAAAUUGAUAACCAGUAGCAAGUUUGACCUUAGACAUAUGAGUCAAUCUUCCACCUUUUAUCCUACUUCUCUUACUUUACAAACUUCCACAUUUCCAUCAAAGAGGUCACGCCAAAGAGGUCUUACUGUUUUUGCAACCGCACUAUCUCCAAGUCAAGGAAUUCAAAGUCAAAGCAGCUCUGGGUUUGAUCACAAAGACACUGAACCAUCAAGGCUAAAGAGAGUCAUGAUUAUAGGCGGAGAUGGAUAUUGUGGUUGGGCUACCGCUCUUCAUCUUUCCAAGCAAAAUUAUGAAGUUGCUAUUGUAGAUAAUCUUGUCCGACGACUUUUUGAUCAUCAACUUGGUCUUGAUUCACUAACACCAAUCUCUUCAAUCCACAAUCGUGUCCGACGAUGGAAAUCUCUGACAGGAAAAACUAUUGAGCUUUAUAUUGGUGACAUAUGUGAUUUUGAAUUUUUAUCUGAGACUUUCAAAUCUUUUGAGCCUGAUUCUGUUGUUCAUUUUGGUGAACAACGCUCGGCUCCUUACUCCAUGAUUGAUCGUACUAGAGCGGUGUUCACGCAGCAUAACAAUGUGAUUGGUACACUAAAUGUUCUGUUUGCUAUCAAGGAAUAUAGAGAGGAUUGCCAUUUAGUAAAGCUGGGAACAAUGGGCGAAUAUGGGACUCCCAACAUUGACAUUGAGGAAGGAUACAUUACAAUUAACCACAAUGGCAGAACAGAUACAUUGCCUUACCCAAAGCAAGGAAGCUCAUUUUACCACCUGAGUAAGGUCCAUGAUUCCAAUAAUAUAGCAUUUACUUGCAAGGCGUGGGGGAUUAGGGCUACUGAUCUGAACCAAGGAGUGGUGUACGGCGUGACGACGGAUGAGACUGAGAUGCAUGAAGAUCUCUGCAAUAGGUUUGACUAUGACGGAGUGUUUGGAACAGCAUUGAAUAGGUUUUGCGUCCAGGCCGCGGUUGGACACCCACUUACAGUGUAUGGCAAAGGGGGUCAGGUAAUGUUGCUUCCUCAAUAACAUCAUCAAGUCCAUGUUUGAAGACACACCCACCCGCACACACCUAUUUAAACAUUUAUUUCAAUUGUCUGAAUGGAGGCACAAAAAGUGUCCUAGUCUAUCUUACGUUUUUGUAAGGUUCACUUAGGAGAUAUAGGUGCCUGAUCAAAUGUUUGAACAACCUGCUUUCUGGACAUUUGAGGAGUCGUGAGGGAGGUCGAGGGAAAAGGAAACACCUGUUAGAUGGUCGUGAUAGUAUAUUUACGAUUAUCUAAAUCUAUAUCUCUUCCCUGAAUUUGUAUGUGACCUGCAUGUCACAUACGGUAAGAGGGCCCUUGAGCGACUCCUCAAACAAUGUCCAUCGUCCAGUAGUACAGAAACCCAACAGUCAGACCGUCAGAGAAACUUGUAUAAUUAUAUUUAUCCUGAGGCCUGACCCCAACUAAUCUGUGCUUUUUUUAUCAUUAUAAUCCAGUUACUUGAUUGCAUUUAUGUAUCCUUAUAGGCUUAUAUUAACAUAUGUUUACUUCAUUUUCCUUAUUGCUCAGACUCGGGGAUAUCUUGACAUAAGAGACACAGUGCAAUGUGUUGAACUCGCGAUUGCAAACCCGGCACAGCCUGGCGAGUUUAGGGUCUUCAACCAGUUCACGGAGCAGUUCUCUGUUAAUGAACUUGCUUCCCUGGUCACAAAAGUUGGGAAGAAGCUCGGAUUGGAUGUUAAAACUAUAUCUGUCCCCAAUCCACGUGUGGAGGCAGAGGAGCACUACUACAAUGCAAAACACACUAAGCUUGUCGAGUUGGGUCUGAAACCACACCUUCUCUCAGACUCUUUACUUGACUCAGUGCUCAAUAAUGCCAUCAGGUUUAAGGAUCGAGUUGACACUAAACAGAUUAUGCCUAGUGUUUCGUGGAAAAAAAUUGGGGCCAAACCGAAAACAGUUUCAGCUUAUCCAAAUAACUAGGCGAGAUGCAAGGAGAUGUCAAUAGAUGAAAGUUGACAUUUGCAUGGCUAUCUGUUGGGUUGUGUCGUGUAAGCUACAAAAAGGAAAUCUCACUGAUAAUCAUUGGUAGAAGCAAUUAGGUUUGCGCAAGUGAGGAUGGGAUCUGCAUUGACUUGUUUUAUAAGUUUAUUUGCCUUGUAGUUGUAUAUCUGCGAAAUAUGAAUAGUACAACAAAAUUUGUUUGUAAUUGGGAAAGAAAUCUCAAAUUUUUCUGGAGAAGUUUUAUAUGUAACCUGUUAAAACGGCAAAGCCCCUUCUUACUCAAGAGGCAGGUGCCCCUGAUGCAGUUUGGUCAUGAGAUGAGCAGCUAAAAGUAGAAACUGAAUAUCCAUUUACGUUUUGAUGAAGGAUCAGUGUGGCAGAGAUUACAACAUCUAUACUUUUGUUCAUUUCGGGUACCUAGCUUUACAUGGAGAUCAACACUAAGAUGCAUUAAACAGGUGUAUUUUACCAUCUAGUUCUGUCUAAAUUAAUCGCAGAAAUUUAAAUACUGCUGUGUAAGUGUAACUAUGUAUCGAUUGUUUGUAGAAGUUUAACUUGAGUGUAUUUUUUUACCUAAGUUGAAGACAUAAUUAAAAGCUGUUUAAUAAACUAUAUAUGUGGUAUGAAAAUUAUAUAGCGGAAGGAGAUCAGGAAUCCAAAUUACUCUCUCUCCAGAAAGGACUUGCCGCGCAGUUUGUAGCGCGUUUGUCCUCUACAUUUGUGUAAUUCGUUGAGUUUAUCAAUAAAAUUUGAAUUAAAUUUAAUAAAAAAAAAAACAAAAAAACCUCGAACUUCUCUGACUCUCUGUAGUCUAUAUAAACAUUACUCACGUUAUUCUUUUUAUUUUAUAAAACAUAUAUAGUUUUUAGAUCAUUGUUGCUUGUUAGGGUUUUGUGACAAGAUGAUGAUGAUGAGUGGUAGUGAGAUGAAUCGAUCUUAUUUAUUUUGAAAGCAUACUUUUGGUUGUAAGAUCAGGGAAGGAAGUUUUGGUUGUGUAUGGAAGGCUUUUGAUAAUCAUAAUGGUGAAAUUGUUGCGAUUAAGGUUUUGAAAGAUAAGGUUUAUUCAUUGGAAGAGGCGCAAAAUUUACGAGAACUGAAGUUAUUAGGUGAGAUUGAACAUCCAAAUAUUGUUUAACUCAAAGAAGUUCUUGGAGAAGAUGGGUUCUUUACUUAGUGUUUGAAUAUAUGGAUUCUAAGUCUUGGAAAAGUUAUUAGAGAUAGAGGUUUAAAAGAUAAAUUUUUCUCAGAGAUUGAAAUAAGGAAUUACUGUUUUCAGAUAUUGAAUGGGUUGGACUACAUGCAUAAGAAUGGUUGGUUUCAUUGUGAUCUUAAGCCUGAUAAUAUAUUGGUUAGCGGAUACCUUAUUAAGCUUGCCGAUCUAGGUUCUGCACAGGAGUUCCUAUCUAAUACACCCUAUGAAGAGUAUAUUACUACUCGAUGGUAUCGCGCACCUGAAGUAUUGCUCUACUCUGAAUACGGAUCUGCAAUUGAUAUAUGGGUAAUGGGAGCAAUUAUGGCAGAGUUGUUUCUCCUUUGUCCAGUGUUUCCUGGUGAUUGUGGGGACAACCAACUUUAUAGGAUAUGCACUAUUAUGGGUUCUCCGGAUGACAUAUCAUGGGUGGGAGAAAGUGCUAAAUACUAUCGCUUUCCACAAUUGCAAAGAACAUAUGAUAUGAUAAUGACAGGUGUUUCUGAAGAUGCAAUCGACUUGAUGACAUCACUACUGUCAUGGAAUCCAUGUAAAAGGCCAACCACUGCAGAGGCUCUACGCCAUCCAUUCUUCAAGCCGUGCUAUGAAGUCCAAAAAUUGCCAUGCCUAUCAACUGGUCCCCCAAUAGCGCUUGGAUCCACCAGAGGCGCAGUUCAGGCUCAAUUAGUCGUCUGGGUGUUCGUAUAAAAUAUGCUCUUUUCUGGAAAUCUUCUGAACUUGUAAGAAUUGUUAAUUGUGAAUAUCAAUAAAGAAUAUAUUUUUAAUUGUUAACAUCAUUUUGUGUAUCUGUUAAUCAAUGGAGAAAGUUGCAAAGUUUCACUUGGCUUGGUUCAUUUCACUACACUUCUUCAAACUGAAUGGUGCAGUUAAUCAAAACCUCCUUAUCAGCCUUGGUGUUGCACUGAUGCCAGCACUUCUUAUUACAGUAUAUACACCGGUAUACCCUCUGAUUAUCCAUCUGGUAAUCCAAUUACAUCUUGCUUAUUUAAAGUGAGAUAUAGGAGGUAAUGAGGUAUGUGCUUCUUGGAAGGCAAAAUGUACAUAGGAGCACUUGCAUAACCAUGUGUUUACUUCCCUUUCCUAUAGAAUGAGUUUAAGAAAGUGAAUUCAAACCAAUGGAACAUUGCUAAAAUUGUCAUGUUCACAGCAUGACUUUACAAAAGGAGCAAACAGCAUCAUUGAAUAACUGGAACUGCAACAAUACAGAACGCGUUUUUUUCAUUAGUUAUAUACUAAAACAAUUACACACUCAUCCUAAACUCAGCAUACCCUCAGUAUAUGUCAUAGGAAUAUCUCCAACGUCAUAGCACGAUCUUUGAAAUAUGCAACAAAAGGAUCAAGGAAAAGAAUUAUGAUAUGAUGAGGCGAGGCGAUGAGCUCCUUGAUAAUUUGUGAGUGGAUCAACCUCAGUCAUGGUGGAUGAUUAUGAUUCUUCAAAGGUUAUCCUUCUAAACUAAAUCAAGUCAGUGUAAAAACGUCAACAAACCCCAUGCUCUUUUUUAGCUCCUCCCUAUUUCCCAGGGUUUGAAUUAGUGAGACUGCUUCAAGAAGAAUGUUUGUAGCCACGUUGACGUCAUUUCUGGCUUGUACGAGUGCUUGUCUUGCUGAGUUUCUAUCAAACCCCAUCGAAACCAGUGUAGCAAUGGAGUUUUCAGAUGGCUCCAUAGUAGAAGUAAUAGGAGCGGCAGAGCAUAAUUUCCCUGAACCAUGUAAAAAUCAUUUAGUGUGACAUUAUACGGGAUAAUACGGAAUGAUGAAGUAUAGAGGGACUGGUGGGAUACGAAAUAGCAAUUGUCACUGCUGAAACCAUAUCAAAAUGUAUGUGAAUACAUGCAAGUCACAUCAUUUGGGAGCAUUAGAUGUAAUAUAUGAAUGCCUGAACUUUUAAAAUUUAUAAAGAGUAAGCAUUAUGAUUCUUCACAGAGUUCCAGCAAACCAAACACAAAAAGUAGUACCCAACAAGUAUGUGUCCAAAACAUAAGAAGGAAGUCAAUCCAGACAGAGUAUCACCUUGACAGGGUCAUUAGUGUUGCCAAUAGUUCAGGAGAGAAAACAAAGAUAGCAAUGAUGUAAUAAAUACUUGCAGGAACGAAAAAUAGAAUCGACAAAACAAAAGCAGUUAUUAACAAACUUGCCUCCACUUAACGACCUCUAUAAGAUGGUAUACUUCCAAUAACAUUCCCGCUAGAUGCUGAAGGUGGUGAGCCUCCCACAGUGGGCCAAGACAGCCGAGAAAAGAAUGAAGUGAGAAACUCUGGGAACUGUUGAAAAGUCACAUUGUCAUGGAAAAAGAACAAGAGAAUUAGCGAAUUAGCUGGUUGUAAAACAUGUAUGCAAUGCUGUAACAGCAAUCCAGAGAACAAACUAACAAUAUAUAUGUGCGCGCAUCAAAACUAAAAGAUAAGACAUUUUCUUUUAUACAAAGAACAUAAAUAUCUCAUAGUGCCACUUUCAUUCAUUUAUUCGUCAAGGCGUCGUGAGUUGAUAAAUGAUAAUUUUAUCCAUUUGUGACACAACAAGAAUUGUAAUCACGUAACUAAUUCACAAUUAACAUAGUUUCUGAAUCCUGCCACUAUUACAGAGGAUUGACUACAUUUCUCGAGGAAGUGAAUCUGCCAAAGAAGAAAACUGCCGGAGGGUGGAAGUAAAUGGUUCCUAAUGGGGAUCAAUCUGAUAAUUCAAAUUUUUAAAUCUUUCCCUUCUAUUAUAUUUUGAUAGUUGAAAAAGUACUAUUAGUUGAAUAGUCAGGAAUAUCUUGUGUGAGUAUUUUAAGAUCAAGAAGAUCUUCUGAAUGAAACCUGCAUUAUAAUUAGUCUAAAUGUUUUAAUAGUGACAAUGUCCUGCUAGCAAGAUGGUAGUAGAAUGUUCUGUAGUUCUUGGACGCCUACAACUAAAGGAGCUUACUUGUAUGAAACAUACAAAAGGUGACCAUGUUAGUGUGUAUCUUGUAACAGGAUGGGGAAACAAUGAUUGAUCCAUCUCUUUUGGAUGGCUCUUUGUUGAAUGUUGUUCCUUGUUCCUUGUUCUUGUUUAUCUAGUUGUUUUGCUUGUAUCUUAUACUGUCCUUUAGAAUAUAUGGUCUACAUAUUAAAUUUUAAAAUACACACAAAAGGUGAAAAAUAAAUCAGAAGCUAACCUUCAUCUUACGUAUGCCAAACAAAUUCAAUCGAUACCAGCAAGAACACCACAUACGCCUGGAAGAAUAGAUCUUUUCCAGGAUGAAAGAAGGAGCUGUGAGGUAAAAUGAAGUAAGCGCAGCAAUAGUUCAGAUGUCAUUUCAUAAUUCAAAUAGAAGAGGCGGAUGACUAAAAAAAUAUCACCAGCCAUUUCUAUGUGAUUUUAAUUGUGAAGGUUGGUGAUUUAGAUGCUUAAAAAAAUUGUUUUUGUCACCAGCUUUAGUAGAGUGAAGGCUGGUGAGUGAUAAUUAGAAAAACCGGUUGAAGUUUGUUUUCGGAUAUUUCUAUAAAUAUAGAAAUAGAAAUAGAGAAAAAAGAGAAAACCACUAUAGCGGUUGGAGAUGGUCUUAGUUACCCUACCCCCGACCUUUUGUUAUUAGUUCCACAUUUUACACAAAUAUCGGUGGAAAUGGUUUCAAGUUUCAAUCAACAGAUUGUGUAUGUAUAUGCAUAUCGAGCUACAUCGACACAAUGUAUUUACAUUGACGCAAUGUAAAUACAUUAUAUACAAAAAAUAAAUUUGAGAUGGAGAUGGUAGAAAAUAAGUAAAUAGACAGAUGAAUUUUACGUGGUUUGGCAAUGGUGCCUACAUCCACGGGAGAGAUGAGUGUUUUAUUAUUGAACAUGAAAUAUGUUCUUUUAUAUAGAUAUAUAGGGAAUUACAAUUGAUAUUGUAACGAAAAAUAACAGACAGAUAAUAGACAAAUAAUAAAGGAGAAUAUAUUUUGAUCUUGAUCUUGUAAUUGUUGGCAUUAACAUGCAUUACCACAUCAUAAACCCCACACGAGCUCAUAAGCGAUCAUCAAGUUGGGCCAAAUUGGAGUAUGAGUUGUACUGCAUGUCGGGGCGGGCUAAGUCAUUGGAAAUAAACUUGAGCUCGGAUGAGCUCGAUGAAAAUAAGCUUGACGUCGAUGUAGCUUGAUAUGUAUAUACAUACACACAAAUUACAGUAAAAAAAAAAAAUGUACAGGCCACUCUCCUACUUAUAUGUAGCAGUGGAAUUCCUGAUGAUGGUUAGCAACAAAAUGGCACGCUGAAAAAUCAUGUCGCAGACACCGAUUGCCAAGAGCCCCAGAUAGAUACUAAGAGCCGAGUGGAACUUUAAUGAAGUGUUUUUUUUAACGAAACAGCAAACAGAAACCAUCGUCUUCUCCCUCUUUCCGCCGCCAUUCUUCUUCCUCUUCCGCCAUUUUCAACUUCUAUCUCUUGAUUUUGCUACUUCUACUUCUUCCUACUCAAAAAUUACCCAACCAUUUAGCCAUUUUUGUUAUUUUCUAUAUUUAGCCCUCUUUUUAUUAGUUUUAACUCAAAAAUUUAAAUUUUUGGUAAAUCACAAAUUAUGGCUCCAAAAAGAAGAUUGUGCGGUAAAAUCGUUCAAAAGGUGUAUCAAGGAACUAGUAGUACUAUGGAAGAUCAAUCUUUAGAUAAUAUGGAAGUCGAAGUUGUCGACAUUGAUUUUCCACAUUUUCGCGAAGUUCGAGAUUAUACACCAAGAGAGCUCGCUCCAUGUACUGGAUCGCAUCUUAGUGAUAACCAGUAUUCCGUCGAUGUAAGUAUUUGAUUUAAUUUUUAAUUAAUAUUUCAUUAUUUUUUAAUUAAUUUAAUUAGUUUUUUAAUUAAUUUUUUAUUAGUUUUUUAAUUAAAUUUUUUUUAGUUUUUAAUUGGUAAAUUGUUCGUUUAAUGUAGAGGAUGAAAAAUUUGACAUAUAGAGGCAAAAUGAAUAACGUAAUGACUUGGUGGUCAUAUAUGGUGGAGAGAGGAAAUGAUUUUGCUCAUGUACGAGAUCGAAUACAAGCGACGCCAUUUGGGCCUCUCGUUUCUUUGACACCAUUUUGAACUGAUCGUCAACUUAUAUUCGCGUUGCUUGAGCGAUGGUGGCCGACGACACAUACAUUUCAUUUGCCUCUCGGUGAGCUUGCUUUUACUCCUCAUGAUUUUACUAUGCUUACGGGUUUGCGUGUCGGGGUGGGAGAGAUUGUGCCAUAUAUUUCAUCUUAUGAUAAUAAUGAGUGUGAGGCUACUAUAUUAUUCCCAACUCUAAGUGAAUAUGAGGAGGCUUGGAAGGAUGAUGACAAACAAACAGGUUUACAGUAUGGUUUUUUUGAGAAUAUACACAUGCUGCGUACUGUUGCUGAUGAUGAUUGGGUGUUAGAGCCCAAUUCAGUUGAAGAGGAUGAGUAUGUGUUAGCUUUUCUGUUAUACUUUGUGUCUGGGGUUUUGUUUUCUACUGGACACAGUUGUGUGAAGUUGGGUUGGUGUGGAGCGUUGCUUGAUACAAACAAGAUUGGAGACUACGAUUGGGGCGGUGCAGUGAUGGCACACAUGUAUUAUCAGAUGGAUUAUUUUUCUAUGAGUGGCAAGAAAUUACACAACAUCGGUGGGUUCAUUUGGAUUCUACAGGUUAGUUAUGGUUUUUAUAUUAUUUUUAAUUUUUAAUUAAUCUAAAGCAUAAAAGCAUGAAUGAUUUUUUUAUUUUUGUAUAUAAUUUUUUUAAUUACGAAAUUUUUAUUAUGUAGUUUUGGUGGUAUGAGUAUCUGGGCACGUGUAAUCCGAUUUUGUUAGACUGUAGACCACAAGUGUUCCUUCGUAUUCUUAUUUGGGCCCUUGAAAACCUAGCUGAAAUGAUGGGACUUGUAACGAAUAACUUUAAACAAGCAAGGGCCUCGAUCGAACAGAAAACUUGGGAUAGUAUUAGGUGGAUGCCUUGGGCUGGGUUACCAUCAAACAGUGUCCCACAUAUUGACAGCUCUAGAAUCAUAUCUCAGACGAGAGUGGUUUUAGUUUCUCCAGAGAUUAGUGUUUGGUUUUUAGGGGAUAGAUGUUUACGACAGACGACUGGUAUGAUAGCUAUUCCUCAUCCUCCACCACCUGAUAUGGCUCCAGUGAGUCUUCCUUUGGAGCAGAUCCGUGCUCGUAGAUCAUCAUUUAACUGGCCAAUUAGUUCAGCUUUUUGUAAGUUUGUUACGGCUAUGGAGUACCAGUUAUAUUGGAACACUGUUUCUCGGGGCACAUUAGCUAUUUCCCCCGUCUCUCGUGAGGGUAACGUAGAUUAUGUGUCAUGGCGAAACAUACGACCAGAGUAUCAGAUUCCUUUCCCAGCAGACCCUACUACUACUCAGCAAGAUUACCCUUUGAGACAAAUACAAUAUGGAGAACAUGCUGGUGAACAUAGCCUUAGGUUGAUGGGAUCACAAGGUAUGACAUGGACUGUACCGGUUCCCUUUCUCGACCGUGACUUAGUUACACAGCAUGUACCUGAUUUUGAUACCUUAGACGAGGUAUGUUUAUUUUUUUUAUUUACAAUUGUAUUUAUAAUUUUAUAUUUGUUAGUUAAAUCUUGUAUAUUUAUAACUAAGGGAACUCUUGUGAAUACAGGUUGCUCUCCAGUCACGCUUAGCAGAUGCUGUAAUGCUUGGUCAAGGGAUGCGGCAUGCAACAUUUGAUUCUUCUGCGAGAUAUUAUGGUUGGUUGCAAGAGCAAAGGACUGCCACAACAAGGGCUGAAGAAGAACUCGCAGCAAGUGCUUCUAGGGUUGCUGAGCUGACAAGCACAUUAGAGGCCUUGGUAAGUAAUUAUUAAUUACUAUUACAGUUAAACCCUAAAAUUUAUUAAUUUUAGUUAUUAAAUUUUAAUUGUAUUUAUAUUUGAUUAUAGGAGUUGCAAGGGCACACUAGACGCGGUGGACGGGGACGAGGUGGACGGGGCCGAAGUGGACGAGGCCGAAGUGGGGAGAGUAGUCAGGGGAGUGCACCUUGAGUGUUUGAUAUUGCUUGAUAUUAGGGUUGGUUUGAGUGUUUGUUAACUGUAUACUAUUGCUUGAUAUUAGGGUUGUUUCUGUUGAACCACCAUAAAAGAUAAAUUUAUGGUUAUUUCUUAAUGAUUUAUUUAUUAUUCGUUUAAAAUGGUAAUAAAAAUAUAUUAAUCAAAAUAUUAAUACAUUAAUCAAAUUAAAUUUAAAAUUCAAUACAUAAUUAAAUAAAACAUUUUAACCUUCGAUACAUUUUAAUUUUCAUACUCUUCACCACAAGUUGAAUAAAACAUUUUACCCAAUGCAUAAUCAAACUCAAACGAAUCAUGGUUACAAUUUUCGGGAAGCACAUGAAUUUCAUCUUCAUACUCGUCAAUAAGUCAAUUAAAUUCAUCAUCGAUACGCUUUUGUUCUUCGAGUGUUAAUGGUUUUUCUUCUUCGAUGAUUUCUUUCUCCAUUUCUUCACGUUUUUCAUCUUUCGGAUCUUCAAUGCGCGCCGAAAAGUGUUUGACAGAACCAUCUCCCAUAAUUAUAUAAAACAAAGUAUCAAACUCAAAUGAAAAAGAUGAAGAAUGAAGAAGUAAAAAUAAAAUAGAUAUCGAAACAAAGAACAUGUAUAUAUAGAUGUGAUUUAUAGCCGUUUGGAAAUUUAGCCGUUCGGAAAAUAUGGCCGUUCGGAGGUAGCCGUUGGAAAUUUAGAGUUCCACGCUGGUUAGACCUACGUGGAAUUAAAAAAAAAAAAAAAAAGUUUCACGCCGGUUUGACCAACGUGGAAUUAAAAAAAUAAUAAAAAAAAAGUUCCACGCUGGUUGAACCAGCGUGGAAGAUGUUAUUUUCCCCAUUCCUGUAAUCCUAUCUUUGGUUCGAUUUUGGACGAAGUUUUAGCAGACCGGCCCACCACAUCCUACGUGGAUAGCCGGCUGCUAAAAAUAUAGAAGACGCGUUAGGGUGCUGUUUUUUGCGGAAUUCCUAAAUUAUAGGUUUUAGGAGACCCAUUAGAGAUGCUCUAAGGGUUGAAGAUAACAACACCAUAUGUAUACACUAUUCAUUCACUAGGUCCUACAGAAUUUUAUAGGUAUUUGAGUUUUUUUUCACUGUUACCCUUAGAGAUGGUCUUAGUCAUGACGCGCUGAAUGAACCUGUAUUCUUAAACCCUACCACCUCGAGCAAGUUGUGCCACAAGAAGCUAAGGUACUGUUUGUUUUUACCUCUUAUAAGAGGUUGGAUUUACUAGAGCCUCUAUUAAGAGGUGGACCACUAAAAUGAAGUGUUUGUUUUUCACCUCUUAUAAGAGGUUACUAGAGGUUUGCCUCUUAUAAGAGGCUGAUUUUUUGUAGUGACAAUGACCUUGCUAUUAGCCUCUUAUAAGAGGUAGACAUUUUCAAAAUACCUAUCCUACUCAUGAUCUUUAUAACUUUUUCCUACCCCUAGUCCUUAAAUAUAAAAUACCUUAAAUCUUUUUUUUAAUUUCUCUCUCUUUCACAUAUUUUUCUAUCUCUCUUAUAUUUAUGGAAUUUUUUUUUCUUAAGUUAAAAAAUUAAUUUUUUUUAUACAUUUAUGGAAUUAAAAAAAUAUUUUUUUUAGAAGAGGAUAUAAUUGUAAAGUUUACCUCUUAUAAGAGGUUUUACAAACAAACACCUUACAUCUUAUAAGCUCUUGCAAGAGGAAAAAAAAACAAACGAUUUUCAUGUACCUCUUAUAAGAGGCAACCUCUUACAAGACAUACCUCUUAAAAGAGACAUCCUCUUAUAAGAGGGACCCAAACAGCCCUUAAAUGUGUGCUUCCUAUCCCUUCUUCUUGCUACUUGCUUUUGCCAAAUGGACCAAUAAAAUGAAAGAUACAGAUGUGGGGAUCUCCACCCACUAGUUUUCUUUCUCUUUCAAUACUUUUUAACAUUUAUUUCUUUAUUCUUGGUUUAAUCCAUCCCCACUGGUUUUUUCUUGCAAGUUGUAAGACCCUUCUCAGCCACAAACACAGAGUGCGAAUUUGUUCCACACUCUUUAAGAGUGCGGAACAAUACUCUCCCCAGAUCUUGCCACGUGGUUAUAUUAAAAAAUAAAAAUUUUGAUUUUUUUUUUUUUUUUUAAUAUUAAGUAAGAUUAAUUAAAAAAUUAAGACACUAAUAAGAUGGUGCUGUUAACCCUAGUGGGACCAACUAAAUAAAAAAAAAAAAAAAAAGUUGAAGUACGUGGCAAGAUCUGGUGGACAGUGUUGUUAAGAGUGUGGAACAAAUUCAAAUUCACAGACACAAUAACACUUUGUUUACAAACAAGUUUCAAGUUUCAAUACUCAAGAAAGAAAGAAAAACCUCUUUGCUUCUUCAAUACUCUUUUCUAGAGUCUCUCUUUACUUCUACUAUAGCUCUUCAAAACUGUUAACUCUGCUACAACAAAAUCUUCUUAUCACUUGUGAUUAUGUUGUUUUUGUCUUUUUUAUGUGGUUAUUGGAAUUGGAUUGAAAUAAGCAAUGGGUUUUCCUUAAAAUUUCAUUUUCUAUGGUGAUGUAAGAGAUUUUUGCAUUUUAAGAUGAUGGGUAUCUUUGAUUUUGACUAAUUUUGGUCAAGGAAUGUUAUAAAUUAGUCUUUGUAAAAAUCUGUUGGGUGUUUGUUAUGGAAAAUUGAUGAUUCAAGGGGGUAAGAACUGAACAGAUAAAAUAUUUUUGGAUUCAACAAGUUUCAAAGUUUUUAGCUGUAUGCAAUCAGCUCACAUGUUGAUGAAUUGAUAAGAAGUUAGGAUAAAAAUGUUUGGAAAUAGAUUACAGAUUUGCAGUCUUCUUUCAGAAGUCAUUUCUGUCAGAAAGUCAUGUAUUAAAAGUCAUCUGUUGAAAGGUUCCUAAAAUAAAUGCUGUCAAAGUUCUUGAUCUUUUUAUUUACAAGUUUGUAUGUUGAUCUUGCAUCCACCUUUCGGACCUAUGAUGUUUUAGAAUAAUUGUUUGAAGCCACCUAUCAAAGACUUCCUUUUAUUUCACGCCUUAACAUUCAACUUUUUAAUUGUAGAUUGAAUAAAUAAACUGAUCAUGUGAUGGCAACUUUCAGGCACAUGGCAUUGAAACAAACUCAUCCCUUGUGACAGAUGGUCAGGUAGAUGAGGAGACAUCAUUUGAACAAGUUGCAACACGGGAGCUCAAAUUGGCUAUGACACAGGUAAAAGAAUAGUGAUGACUUUAUGAUAGAAAUUGUGACAGUAUGGUUGAUUAUUAUAUCUGAUUAUUGACAGAUCAUUUUGCCUUUGAACAGUUGACAGAAGAAACUCGUAUUUGUUUUCGGGAUUCUUUGUACCGCCUUGCCAAGAGUUCUAGACAACGGCAAUUAGAAAGCCAAAGUGAAGAACUAACCAUUGAUGGGACUUUUUUAACGAACACUCAUGGAGAGACGGCAAGGUAAAUUUUGACUUGUAAUAGUCUUUUACUUAUUAAGAAAUAUAUCUAUUUAGUAGAUAUGAUGCUGGUACUGAUGACGUAUUAAGAGCACCACUUAUAAGCGGGUAAACCCCUCUAAGUAACCAACUGAUCCUAGGCCCCUUAUAUCUCCAUUCAGCAUGACACAUAGGACUGCCUUCGAAAGCAAAACACAACACCUUCAAGAACUCAAAAUCAGAUACAUGAUUGUUUUCUUACGUUUUAAAAUGGACAAGAACUAUUUAUACUGGUUGUAUUUACGGUUAUUUUUAACAAAAGUAUUGCUUCUAUCAUUGAAGUUAGCUUACAUUAUCUUAAAUGAACUUUAUCCUCAGGUUUGAGGAGAAAGUGGAGCAUAUGGAAUCAGAAACCAAUUAUUUUGAUAGCACUGUCGCUCACCUUAUGUUCAAUGAGCUGAACAGUACCCCAGAUCUGUACCAGUUAUCCGUGCAGAAAAGCCAUCAUAACAAUCAUGUUAUGUAGGCAGUAGGCUGUUCCUCAGUCCUUAAUAUUACCUAGUGAGAAGGAUGUUUCAAUCUUUGGUGGAUAACAGAGUAACAAUAGAUAUUACAAAGAAGGGGGAAGGUUGUCAACAAAAGAUUCAACAUCCUGAAUGGAACCCAAAUCAAAUUUCAAAAGCCAUGCAAACAAGAAAAUGGGUCCUUAUAUCGUCUCUGCAUUAGUAAUCCAAGUAAUAAAAUAUGUUCUCAGGAUCUGUUAACGACUUGAGUUUUACCAAGUACAAUUGACAGUCAAGUUUUGUAAUAUUAGUUAAGCUGGAUCAGCACCUACAACGCUGAAAUCUCUUCGUUUUUAUCGAGUAAGGAGGUAUGACAUCCAUGUAGAUAUUCCUAGCUCCCUACAGCAAUUUUCACUAGUAUCAGUUUUCCUGGAAAUCAUAUAUGUAAAACAACUUCCUUGUGCGAGUAAAGAGUGUGCUUUGUUCAGUCAAUUUUGUUGUCAAGUCAGUUUGAUUCUUCUUCUUUCUUUGCAAUAAGGACGAUACAAUUCAUCUGAGGCUAUUGUGCAGUUUAUUGCUUUCAUUGCUAAAAGAAAACAGCGUUGUAUAA
RNAcentral lists this long non-coding RNA (54605 nucleotides) under Aquilegia coerulea. RNAcentral describes it as "long non-coding RNA (ACOE_LNC000372)". Lineage: Eukaryota; Viridiplantae; Streptophyta; Magnoliopsida; Ranunculales; Ranunculaceae. The record is from RNAcentral.